UCCGGCGUGAGGUCGAGGUAGUAGUGGUUCGUGAUGGCCGCCCGGCGCGCAGUACCCUGAGGGACGGGAGGGACCGGCACGCCGCCGGCGCUUAGGCUCCAGCCGGUGGGGACGCGGUAGCCCGGUGGACAAGGGUAGUUCGAGGCGCAAAGCUCCUCCACCUGCUGGUAGGUUAGAGUGGGUGCGGUGGAAGCCAUGAGAGAGUGAUGAGAGAUUGUAGAGAUGUGAUAAUGCUGGCCAAGCCGGGCUACAUAUAUGUAGUGAGAAAUGGCGGGAAAAAUGGGAGCGGGAAGACAGGAGGCGGGAAGAAAGAGGCGGGAAGACAGGGAAGAAAUGGCGGGAAGAAGAGGAAUCCAGAGCUGGUCAUCUAACCUUUAGUCCCGGCUGGUUGGUGCAUUUUGAAUUGAAUUAGUUUUAUUUUUCUUAAUUUUUUGAUAUAUUAUUUGUAUUUUUAACAUUUUGAAUUGAAUUAGUUUUAUUUUUCUUAAUUUUUGAUAUAAUUUUUGUGUUUUUAACAUAUUGAAUUGAAUUAGUUUUAUUUUCUGAAUUUUUGAUAUAUUAUUUGUAUUUUUAAGAUAUUGAAAAAGAAAAGUAUUUUGAAAAAUACCUUUAGUCGCGGUUGGCCAGACCAACCGCGACUAAAGGUCGUUGCGCGCGGGAACGAAAAAACCCUUUAGUCGCGGUUGGUUUUGCCAACCGCGCCUAAAGUUUACCUNNNNNNNNNNNNNNNNNNNNNNNNNNNNNNNNNNNNNNNNNNNNNNNNNNNNNNNNNNNNNNNNNNNNNNNNNNNNNNNNNNNNNNNNNNNNNNNNNNNNAAUACAAGUUUCUCAUAAACCUUGUACACACCCAAAAUCUUUGAUCAUCUCAUCAAAGUGCUUAUUCCAACUCCGAGAUGCUUGCACCAGUCCAUUGAAGGAUCACUGGAGCUUGCAUACUUGCUAGUAUCUUUAGGAUCGACAAAACCUUCUGGUUGUAUCACAUACAAUGUUUGCUCAAGGAAACCGUCGAGGAAACAAUGUUUUGACAUCCUACGUGCAAUAUUUCAUAAAUAAUGCAGCAACUACUAACAUAAUUCUAACAGACCUUUAGCAUCGCUACGAGUGAGAAAGACUCAUCAUAGUCAACUGUUUGAUCUUGUCGAAAACAUCUUUGCGACAAGUCGAGCUUUUCUUAAUAGUGACUUAUCACCAUCAUCGUGUGUCUUCUUUUAAAGAUCCAUUUUACCCAAUAGUCCCAUGACCAUCAAGUAGUUCUACCAAAGUCUACACUUUGUUUUCACACAUGGAUCCUCUCUCGGAUUUUAUGGCUUCCAGCCAUUUGUCGGAAUCUGGGCCCACCAUCGCUUUCUCCAUAACUCGUAGGUUCACUGUUGCUCAACAACAUGACCUCCAAGACAGGGUUACCGUACUACUCUGCAGCAGUACGCGACCUUGUCGACCUACGAGGUUUGUAGUAACUUGAUUCGAAGCUUAAUGAUCACCAUCAUCAGCUUCCACUUCAAUUGGUGUAGGCGCCACAGGAACAACUUCCUACGCCCUGCUACACACUGGUUGAAGUGAUGGUUCAAUAACCUCAUCAAGUUCUACUACCCUCCCACUCAAUUCUUUCGAGAGAAACCUUUUCUCGAGAAAGGAUCCGUUUCUAGAAACAAACACUUUGCUUUCGGAUCUGAGAUAGGAGAUGUACCCAACUGUUUUGGAUAUCCUGUGAAGAUGCAUUUAUCCGCUUUGGGUUCGAGCUUAUCAGACUGAAACUUUUUCACAUAAGUUUCUAAGCCCCAAACUUUCAAGAAACGACAGUUUAGAUUUCUCUAAACCUCAGUCUAUACUGUGUCAUCUCAACGGAAAUACGCGGUGCCCCAUUUAAAGUGAAUGUGGUUGUCUCUAAUGCAUAACCCAUAAACGAUAGUGGUAAUUCGAUAAGAGACAUCCCAGCAUGCACCAUACUAAAUAGUGCGUGGCUAUGACGUUCAGACACAUCAUCACACCAUGAUGUUCCAGGUGGCAUGAACUGUGAAACAAUUUCCACAUUGUCUUAACUGUGUACCAAAAAUUCGUAACUCAGAUAUUCAUUUCUAUGAUCAUAUCGUAGACAGUUCAUCCUCUUGUUACGAUGAACUUCACUCUGAAACAGAAUUUGAACUUUUCAAUAUUUCAGACUUGUGAUUCAUUAAGUAAAUACUCCUGUAUCUACUCAAGUCGUCAGUGAAGUAAGAACAUAAUGAUAUCCACUGCGUGCCUCAACACUCACUGGACUGCAUACAUCAAAAUGUAUCACUUCCAACAAGUUACUAUCUUGUUUCAUCUCAAUGAAAACAAGGCCUUGCUCAUGUGGUAUGAUUUGCAUGUCACUAGUGAUUCGAAAUCAGGUGAGUAAAGAUCCAUCAGCAUGGAGCCUCUUCAUGCAAUUUAUACUAACAUGACUCAAGCGGCAGUGCCACAAGUAAGUGGUACUAUCAUCAUUUAACUCGUAUCUUUUGGCACCAAUGUGUAACACUACAAUCGAGAUUCAAUAAACCAUUGAAGGUGAUUAUUCAAGCAAAUAGAGUAACCAUUAUUCCUUUUGAAUGAAUAAUCGUAUUGCAAUAAACACGAUCCAAUCAUGUUCAUGCUUAACGCAAGCACCAAAUAACAAUUAUUUAGGUUCAACACCAAUCCCGAUGGUAAAGGGGGCGUGUGACGUUUGAUCAUAUCAACUUUGGAAACACUUCCAACACGUAUCGUCACCUCGCCUUUAGCUAGUCUCCGUUUAUGCCGUAGCUUUCAUUUCGCGUUACUAAUCACUUAGCAACCGAACCAGUAUCCAAUACCCUCGUGCUACUAGGAGUACUAGUAAAGUACACAUCAACAUUAUGUAUAUCAAAUAUACUUCUCUCGACUUUUGCCAGCCUUCUUAUCUACCAAGUAUCUAGAGUUGCUCCGCCUCAGUGACUGUUCCCCUUAUUACAGAAGCACCUAGUCUCGGGUUUGGGUUUAAUCUUGGGUCUCUUCAUUAGUGCAGCAACUGUUUUGCCGUUUCACGAAGUAUCCCUUCUAGCCCUUGCCUUUCUUGAAACUUAGUGGUUUUACUAACCAUCAACUAUUGAUGCUCCUUCUUGAUUUCUACUUUCGCAGUGUCAAACAUUGCGAAUCACUCAAAAGAUCAUAGUAUCUAUCCUUGAUAUGUUAUAGUUCAUCACGAAGCUCUCAUAGCUUGGUGGCAGUGACUUUGGAGAACCAUCACUAUCUCAUCUGGAAGAUUAACUCCCACUUGAUUCAAGCGAUUGUCGUACUCAUACAAUCUGAGCAAACGCUCAACGAUUGAGCUUUUCUCCUUUACUUUGUGGACAAAGAAUCUUGUUUGGAGGUCUCGUACCUCUUAACAAGGGCACAAGCAUGAAAUCACAAUUUCAUCUCUUCGGAACAUCACUUAUGUUCCAUGACGUUUUACAACGUUUUUGGCGCCUUGCUUCUAAGCCAUCAAGUAUCUUGCACUGAACUAUCGUGUAGUCAUCAGUAACGUGUAUGUCGGAUGUUCAUAGCAUCCACAGACGACGCUCGAGGUGCAGCACACCGAGUGGUGCAUUAAGGACAUAAGCCUUCUGCGUAACAACGACGACAAUCCUCGGUUUUACAAACUCAGUCUGCAAAGGUUGCUACUAUCAAUUUUCAACUAAAUUUUCUCUAGGAACAUAUAAAAACAGUAGAGCUAUAGCGCAAGCUACAUCGUAAUUCGCAAAGACCAUUAGACUAUGUUCAUGACAAUUAGUUCAAUUAAUCAUAUUACUUAAGAACUCCCACUCAAAAAGUACAUCUCUCUAGUCAUCUGAGUGGUACAUGAUCCAAAUCCGCUAUCUCAAGUCCGAUCAUCACGUGAGUCGAGAAUAGUUUCAGUGGUAAGCAUCCCUAUGCUAAUCAUAUCAACUAUACGAUUCAUGCUCGACCUUUCGGUCUCAUGUGUUCCGAGGCCAUGUCUGCACAUGCUAGGCUCGUCAAGCUUAACCCGAGUGUUCCGCGUGUGCAACUGUUUUGCACCCGUUGUAUGUGAACGUUGAGUCUAUCACACCCGAUCAUCACGUGGUGUCUCGAAACGAAGAACUGUCGCAACGGUGCACAGUCGGGGAGAACACAACUUCGUCUUGAAAUUUUAGUGAGAGAUCACCUCAUAAUGCUACCGUCGUUCUAAGCAAAAUAAGGUGCAUAAAAGGAUUAACAUCACAUGCAAUUCAUAAGUGACAUGAUAUGGCCAUCAUCACGUGCUUCUUGAUCUCCAUCACCAAAGCACCGGCACGAUCUUCUUGUCACCGGCGCCACACCAUGAUCAUCCAUCAACGUGUUGCCAUCGGGGUUGUCGUGCUACUUAUGCUAUUACUACUAAAGCUACAUCCUAGCAAAAUAGUAAACGCAUCUGCAAGCACAAACGUUAGUAUAAAGACAACCCUAUGGCUCCUGCCGGUUGCCGUACCAUCGACGUGCAAGUCGAUAUUUCUAUUACAACAUGAUCAUCUCAUACAUCCAAUAUAUCACAUCACAUCGUUGGCCAUAUCACAUCACAAUCAUACCCUGCAAAAACAAGUUAGACGUCCUCUAAUUUUGUUGUUGCAUGUUUUACGUGGUGACCGAGGGUAUCUAGUAGGAUCGCAUCUUACUUACGCAAACACCACAACGGAGAUAUAUGAGUUGCUAUUUAACCUCAUCCAAGGACCUCCUCGGUCAAAUCCGAUUCAACUAAAGUUGGAGAAACAGUCACUUGCCAGUCAUCUUUGAGCAAAGGGGGUUACUCGUAACGAUGAAACCAGUCUCUCGUAAGCGUACGAGUAAUGUCGGUCCAAGCCGCUUCAAUCCAACAAUACCGCGGAAUCAAGAAAAGACUAAGGAGGGCAGCAAAACGCACAUCACCGCCCACAAAACCUUUUGUGUUCUACUCGAGAAGACAUCUACGCAUGAACCUAGCUCAUGAUGCCACUGUUGGGGAACGUCGCAAGGGAAACAAAAAUUUUCCUACGCGCACGAAGACCUAUCAUGGUGAUGUCCAUCUACGAGAGGGGAUGAGUGAUCUACGUACCCUUGUAGAUCGUACAGCAGAAGCGUUAGUGAACGCGGUUGAUGUAGUGGAACGUCCUCACGUCCCUCGAUCCGCCCCGCGAACAAUCCCGCGAUCAGUCCCACGAUCUAGUACCGAACGGACGGCACCUCCGCGUUCAGCACACGUACAACUCGACGAUGAUCUCGGCCUUCUUGAUCCAGCAAGAGAGACGGAGAGGUAGAAGAGUUCUCCGGCAGCGUGACGGCGCUCCGGAGGUUGGUGAUGAUCUCGUCUCAGCAGGGCUCCGCCCGAGCUCCGCAGAAACGCGAUCUAGAGGAAAAACUAUGGAGGUAUGUGGUCGGGCUGCCGUGGAAAAGUCGUCUCAAAUCAGCCCUAAUAUCUCCGUAUAUAUAGGUGGGAGGGAGGGGAGGAGGCAGCCUCAAAACCUAAAGGUUUGGCCGAAAUUGGAGGUGGAGGAGUCCUACUCCAAUCCUACUUGGAGUAGGAUUCCACCUUCCCACUUGGAAACUCUUUCCACCUUGUGUUUUUUCCUUCUCAAACCUUAUGGGCCUUAGUGGGAACUUAUUCCAGCCCACUAGGGGCUGGUUUAUCUCUUCCAUAGCCCAUGAGACCCCUUGGGCGUGACACCCCUCGAUGGUCCCCCGGCACCCCUCCCGGCACUCCCGGUACACUACCCGAUGGAGCCCCCGGAAAACUUUUUUCCCGGGUAAAUUCGGCCAACCGGAAAAAAACCCUUUCCCGGGUAAAACCCAAAAAUUGGAAGGUCAAUCCGUAAUAUAUCAAUCUUCGUUUCCGGACCAUUCCCGGAAACCCUCGUGACGUCCGUGAUNNNNNNNNNNNNNNNNNNNNNNNNNNNNNNNNNNNNNNNNNNNNNNNNNNNNNNNNNNNNNNNNNNNNNNNNNNNNNNNNNNNNNNNNNNNNNNNNNNNNGACGGGCCGGACACGGCCGACUCCGACCUCGCACCUCCACCACCUCGCCUCCCAACCUACGUCCCGCCGGACCAACGCUCCCCCCGGUCCCAAGUCCCCUCCCCUCACCUCCACACACCACGCCUAACNCCACCGGUAACCGGCCACCCACUACGGACGACACUGCCCACCACCACCACCACUCCACUACAAGGCACCAGCGCAAGCCCGACGCAGAAAACCUAGGCUCGAGCCCGGCCCGGUCCGGUCGUCUAGGCCUACGAUCUCAGGCCCAGGUCCGGCCCAUCACUGCUAAUUUCUGUCGGGCUUCGGGCCUCGGGUCGGGCCCCUUCCUUAAAACGCAAAAACAGCAAGCCCAUGCCCUACCCGAAAUACUCUUCGGGCUCAAAAUUUAGGCCCGGGCAUGGGCAAGGUCGGGCCGGGCCGACCGGGCCGGGCUGCCCAUUGCUAGAUAUACGCCUCCCAUCCCUAGUGCCUCUUCGCCGACGUACUUGUCGGUGUUGGUCUUCGGUUGAACUGUUUGGGUCUAAUAUUUUUCGCCUUCGUUCGCGUGGUUACUCGUUUAAUCUUUCCGGUCUACGACUCUCUUCAUCGGUGGUAGUUACUGAUCUCGUGCGUUGUUCCUUAAAGUCUUUAGUAUGAUGGUUUUUUAACUGUCUACUAUAAUAAGGUUUUGUCUGACUUUAAUAAAAAAAGACGAUGACGAGAUGCAAUGGCAGACCUAAAUAUGACAGGUCCCAUGCCUUUUCACACCAUCUUCCAGUAUUAUAGCUAGAGUGCUACACUAUAGCUAUAGUCAACGAAGAAAAUGAUCUACACGCCAAGGCAGCCGCCCGGGCUGACUGGGCCUAAGAGCAUAUAUAUAUACCGGUUGAGGUUUGUUUUCUUCCGAGUCAUGGUAAAAAAUUACGGACCAGAUACGUGAUGCACGGUCUGUUUUGACUAGCAAAACGGACCGAAUCCGUACACUUAUCGAAAUUAUCGGGCAACUCUAUUACAGGGUCUGCUAGAGAUGUUCUAGAUCCGCGUGUGACUGGAUGGGCAUUCGACUCGAUGCAGUACCUGUAGCUGUCGCUGUUAACCUGGUUGUAAUUUUUAUAACAUAUGUUCUUUGUACUGCCAUUACUAAUUACAAAUAGAUUGAAAAGCUCUCAUAAAAAAAAGUGAUCCCAUAACUUUUAAUUAUUGUAAUACAUGUAUCAUUUGCAAAAUGUUUUGUAAAACUUUUAUAAGUUUAUACCGAGUAUUUUUCAGAAACAAAUAUUUAAGUGUAGUACAUUUGUAUUUUUUUAUUAGUUUUAACUAUGUAUGCAGCACUUAAUUGUAUAUAUACUACUGUAUUUGUUAAUGAAAAAUUACUGCACUGAUGCGUGGGUAUCAUGAGCGCAUGGCCGAGGUUACACUGGAUCUCAGUCGACCGAGCAGAUUAAAUACGUCUUGUCUCCAACGGGGACAUGUUGUUGGCACCGGCACGCGUCGACCUCCCCACCGGCUACCCUCCCCUGGCCUAGCCAGCUCACCGCGGGCAACCGCCUCGCGGCGCGACGCGUGCCACGGCGCGCGCGUACGUGGCGCCUCGCCGCGCUAAACAAAAUGGCCGCGCCGGUCGGCGGAUCGAGACCGAGAGAGAGAGCACACCAACCUCCGCCUCCAUUCACUCGCGGAGCACAGAUUCCCGGCCGACUCGCCGUCGCUGUCCCGGUGGUGCCCGCGACAGUGAUCGGAGGACGAUGGUGGUGACCGUGGCAGCGACGGGGCCGGACACGGCCGAGACGCUGCACUCCACCACCUUCGCCUCCCGCUACGUCCGCGACCAGCUCCCCCGGUCAGUCACCCUCCUCUCCUCCACACACCACGCCUACUCCUACCGGUAACCGGCCACCCACUACCCCACCACCACCACCACCACCACUCCACUACAAGGCACACAGGGGAUAGGNNNNNNNNNNNNNNNNNNNNNNNNNNNNNNNNNNNNNNNNNNNNNNNNNNNNNNNNNNNNNNNNNNNNNNNNNNNNNNNNNNNNNNNNNNNNNNNNNNNNAAUUGAUCUAUGAUAGCUGGCGCGGUGGAAACCACCCAAGUGUCKYYUYGCUCGCCCGCCCUCGCCGCCUCGCUCGCCCGCUUAACGCCGCAAAUUUCUACAGAGUUUACAGAGUAUAAACUUUGUAUAUACAAUUCCAAACAUAUACAAUACAAAAAUAUAACUGAUGGUGUAUCCAAUGACAUGCAUUUCGUAAGUUAAUGGACAUAAUUUGUGUGUAAACAAGGUCAAAGUUUGUGAUUUUUGACUUUUGAAAAAAAUCUAUACAUACUACAUUAUGGAAUGGAUGGAGUAUAAAUUUUCUUGACAUGGAUUGUUUAAGUUGUAGGAAUAAAUCCCAUAUGGUAUAGUUUUUUCAUUGAUGUUUAUUUUUUUAUCGGGACAAUAACUCCAAUAACAUAAACUUCCUUAAAGACUUUCACACAAUCCAUGUUUGUUUUAAUGAAUGUCCUCAACAACCAUACACUGCACUACCACCAAUUUAUAUGCCGUGUUCUCUGCAUGCUUCAGACUCACUGAGUUUUGACACAUCUGAGAAACCACCUGUUAGCAAAAGAGGGAAAGCACUAUGCAAGAACAAAGAAAAAGAAAUAAAGAAAGGGAGGUCAUCACUUCAUCUUGAGAAUAGAAGACGUCGGGAAGAAAACGCUCAGUUGAUGCGACCGCUAGCAUCCCACGAAGAGAAAACAUAUUGUCGAGCCCUAUGAUUUCUCGAUGCACCUGCACAGUCCCGGGUCUCAUACUCGUGUGGUUAGUACACACGGCAGUGAUGAGAAAAAAAAGUAUGGUCUAAAACGUAUAAUCAUUUGAAUUUACAUAAAAAAUGACUUAGUUUAACAAAAACGGUAAAAUAACUUAGGGUAAGAAUUAGUUUAACAAAAACGGUAAAAUAACUCCCUCUCCGUGACGCCGUCGUCUGCCGCCCCGUCUCGCGCUCUACCGCGACACCCUCUCCCACCCUUCCUCGCCCCCUCCUUUUGCCACCGCCCUUUCGCCACCGCCACCGCCACCGUCCCCCUUCUUCACUUAAUUAAUUUGUUUUUACUACAUGUUUUCAGGACUGACAUAAUGGCGGACGAUAGAGCUGACCCGAUUAUGGACAACUAUGAUCCGGACGGUGAAGCACAUAUGUUCGGCAUCAUAAACGGCGAUAUUCUAUAUGUGCCGACCGGAGAAGAAGAAGAUGAUAUCUCUUCUUAUCUGAACCUUGACGGUGAAGAUGAAGGGCGCCGUCGGCAAGAUGAUGCCGAACAAACGUCGAUAAACGACGAUCUUCAAAUGGAAGUAGCAACCACCUCCGGCGCCGAGGUAUAUAUACAUUGAGCCUCUGGUGAUACAAACUAACUGAUUUGAAUAAAUAUGUGUGUACUAACGCGCGCUACUCUCUUUCUUAUUUUAGCCCUCGGCCGGAUCGUCGAAACAAUCGAGUACGUCGUCAAAGCGUGGCGCAACCAAGACGAUGAAACAAGGAGAAACAUGCACCAUCGAGGUUGUCGAUAGUGCAACCGGCAGGCCGCUGGAGCCCCGCAAGAACGCCACCAAGUUUGUCAGCCAAUGCGGAGCCGUUGUUAGAGACAACGUCUCGAUCACCGUCCAGGAGUGGAAUGAGCCAAAGAAGGCACGAAUUGCUGGUUUCACUUUUGUCGAUAAGAGAACAAAAAAAGAUUGCUUCAUGAGAAAUGGAAGGCGGACUGCAAGAAGAAAAGAGAGCCCGAGCCCAAGCCAGUAUUUUCUGAUGAGCAAAAGAAGUGGGCUAAGUCAUUUUUGAGCACACCGUCCCAAGCCGCGAAGAAUCUGCCUGACGACUAUGCACGUGAACUUCGUAGGCAGGCAUUCAUGUUGAAGGAGAAGAAAGAGCGGGCGGAGAACCAGGAGAACAAAGCCUUGGAGGAGGCCGAGAAAACGGAAUUAGAAAGUAAAAAAAGCGGGAAACGAGUUGCCCAGCUCGGGGAACAAAGUAAACAAUCGAUUGCCCCGCUUAUAGUGAAAGCCGCCGGUCCGGAUGACCCCGAUAUCAUAGCAGCUGCGGCAGCACAUGGAUUGACUGUAACGAGUGCCAGAGAACAAACGGCCAACUUAGGUAUUACUCUUCGUGAAAUGUUAGGCCUUGAUGAGGCGCCAGUGAAGGAGGUAGUAAUUACAUAUGUGAAGAAUGGGCCUCUCAUCGAGCCUGCGCAGGAAGAGGAUCUACCUCCACAAAUGAAAGGUCUGCUGAAAUGGUACAAGGGUUACAUAAAAAAUAAAAACGCCAAAGAUUAUAUUUAUGCGGAAGUUAGAUAUGAGCAUCACUUCAAACAUUACUAUGUACAAAUUCAUCUGAGUGAAUUGUUCCAGCUUUUCAAUCUGCGGCGAGCUCGACAAAUCUAUCAUCAGUUGCUACGUUCUGUAAGUGAUUUAUUUAUACCCCAUCUCGUUCAUAUUGCCUGCACUAUAUAUAUGUCGUAACUAUAUUGUUGUGUCUGCUAUUAUACAUGCAGAAUGAAGAUUAAGGAAUGCAGAGUAAGGAACAUCCAUGAUGUUGGGUUCAUUGACCCACACAUCGUUAAUGGAUAUGUGUUGGAGCAUCACCCCGCCGACAUGGAGGCAGACCUGUGGCAGUUUCUUACAAAGCAGGAACUCAAAAGUGAUAUUCUAUUUCCUUACCAUUUUGGGUGAGUGUUUCUGUCUUGAGCACAUUCUCUUUUGUUUACUCCAUGCAUGGUAUGUGGCCGGCUAAUCGAUGAGUUAUGCAUGACGUACUGUGCAUGUAUCGUGUCCGCAGGUUCCAUUGGAUUCUGCUAGUAAUUAAAGUUGACACCUCAGAAUGUCUCGUCCACGACUCUCUGAAUAUGGAUCCAAAGCUUUGGGGCGGCAUGAGAAGAAUGCUGCAGAAGUAAUUAUUUUCAUUCAUUUGCGCUCUAUAUCGAUCGGCCUAUUUCGUUCAUUUCCUAAUAUCAAGUAACUAAUAACUCUCUUGUUCAUUUAAUUUUCUUUGCCUCGUAGGGUUUGGAGACGGUUCGUAGAUACAAAGGUCGGUGAAUUCAAAAAAGAGCUAGAAUUCAAAAGGUCAAAGGCUAAAAAUGGUGGGGAUAUUCAGCCAGCGGGGACCAAUCUAUGUGGAUACUAUGUCUGUGAGAUGAUCCGGAGAUACACCUCUGAGCGGGUUCCGAGUGAUACCAAUGCUCAGCGGAAUAACCUCCGGGUGAUGCUUAGUCCAGAAGCUCGCUUCCAACCACUUCAAGAGGAACUAGCUGGAUGGUUCAGGAGGGAAGUCCUCCAUCGUAAAGGAGAACACCAUUACGAGGACGUAGAACUUUAUAUGCAUUAAAUUAUGUAUGGAAACUUGUUCAAAAUUGUAUAUGGUCAUCCGAUGAUAUUGAAUAUAUAUUGUAUAUUCCUCUUGAAUUCUUUUUGGUUCUAAUUUCAAAUUUGUUUGUAAAUUGUACAUUCAUAUGCAUGUAUGUAGUACCGUAGAAUAUGUGAAACUCUUCAAAUUAAAAUAAAGCAACAAAAAGAAAUAAAAACAAUACAAAUUAAAACAAGAAAAAACGAAGGGUUUAAGGGGGGGGGGGGGACGUAAACCUGUGGCGGCCGUUAGUUCGCGGUUGGCCAGAAACGCGACUAAGUACUCCGCCCGACCGGCCGCCGUCGGCCGGCCCNNNNNNNNNNNNNNNNNNNNNNNNNNNNNNNNNNNNNNNNNNNNNNNNNNNNNNNNNNNNNNNNNNNNNNNNNNNNNNNNNNNNNNNNNNNNNNNNNNNNUCAAAAACGACUCAACUUUGCACUAACUUUAGUACAAAGUUGAGUCACUUAUUUUGGGACGGAGGGAGUAUAAUUUAGAUGCAUAGUUGCAUACCUCACCAUUCCUAAUCUAUUGACUCUCUUUAAUAAAAACGUUGUUCCUUGAGAACAAAAUAUUAUUAUGUUUACAUCAAAUUUAGGCUCUCUUUGGUUUACAGGAAUUUGUAAGAAUUCUAUAGGGUAGGAUUCCUUUAGGAAAAUUUCCUUUUGAGCCCUUUGAUUUGUAGGAAUGAGAUUCAUAUUCCUAUGUAGAAUUGAUUCCUAUCCUUCACAUUUCAAAGGAGAAAAAAAACAUUAGCUAAGACCUAAUGGAAAAGUUCCUAUCCUAUGAGCCAAAUGACAUCUCUUUUCCUAUUGGAACUGAGAUACAUGUCAUCCCGUUUCCUAUGACUUCCCUAUUCCUACAAUAUUCCUAUCCUAUGAACCAAAGGCGUCCAUGCAUAUAUUUUACAAAAGUAUAGUGCACUCUGAGCAAGUGGUUACCAGAAUUGUGCCUCUCAUCAUGGGGAUCUUGUUAGGACGAACAUCGUCAGGACAAGGAUGAACAUCGUCAGGACAAGGAUGAAGAACCAGGAGAUAGGGAGAUGGAUCUUCUGGAACUCGCUCUUCAAACUGGAAGACACAAAAAUCAGUCAAAGUAUUAAUCGAUGUCAACAUGCGUCAUAACUGUAGUACAAUGUUAAGGAGUCAUGGCAUACAACAUACCUCUUCCAAUAAUGCAUGACCGUCUGGGAGCACAUACCUGUAAUAACAACUAUGCAAUCUUAGUGGGGCACUGCUGACUUCUGAGGACAAAAUCUCAAUAUAUCAGGAAAGUAUAUCAUUACGUACGCAAGGUGCUCUGUCCUAAGACGCCCUAUGUGUUUCAGGUUUCUGCUUGUAUGUUGUGAAUUGCUCAAUGCCAAAUCUUUUCCAUGAUUUGGUGUCCAAGAGCAAUUGCUCACCAUAGGCUUGUUUGAACACAGAUUUAUUUCAACGUCGUAGUGUACUCUUUUUGACAUGAUGUCUUCAAUAUCAACAAGAUCAUCUUCAUUGGGAUAUUCUUGCUCAUCAAGUGCUUCAUAUUCAUAUUCGGGACUUGGUGGCACCUCAAUAAUGGGCUCACAGCUGCGGGAGGGUUGUCUGCCAGCAGCCCUGCUUUCUUCGAUUUGAUGUUGCCACACUUGCAGACUUGGCAUGCAACUACCAUUUGACAACAGUCUUUCAGAAGUAACCAUACUUUUUUUCUCUUCACCACCACGCACAUGCUCCUCUGCAGGAGGAAGUAAUGGUCUGAUAACAAGCAAAUGUUAUUGUUCCGUGCUUCACUCUAAAAUUAGUCCAAAUCAAUAAAUAAAAAGUUCACCAUGCAAAUAUCGACUCCACAAGAAAGACACAAAUCUUAUAUGAGUACUCAUCUUUGUAUAUUGCACCUUCUAAAAGGUUUUACUUCACUUAGUAAUUUCCAAUCCUUUGUUAAAGACAUAUCACUUGAAUGACAUAUAGCACUUGAAUGACAUAGGUGUUAAAGACAUAAACACCUAUGUCACAGUACUACCUAGUUCAUUGGCAGCCACUCAAAUUCAAACAGCAUCCGCCAAAAAAAAGGUAGAAUAUCACCAAAGAACUAGCCAUGGACAGGGCUGCGAGUUAGUUAGCUAUCCACGUGCCAUGACCAUGAGUUGGUUUCGAGAUCUUAUGGAUUUCAGCUCUAGCCUACCCCAACUUGAUUCGGACUAAAGGCUUAGCUGUUGUUGCUGCGAGAGUUCACUACGUACCAUAACAAUAGUAUCUCGGUAUGUUGCUGAAAUAAGCUCAAGUAAAUAACUUUGCAACAUGUGAACAUACCUGGUAAGUUUACUUUUGUAGUACCUGCAGUCCCCACGGAAUGGGCAAGCAUUGCAAUUUGGAUCUACUUUUGUGCAAAUUACCUGCAUAAUGGAAGCAUCCACCAUAAAAACAUUUKKAGCUAAAACUAUCAAUUAAAUUUUUAACUAAUCUACUUUUUGUGGAUUAGCUAAAUACCUUUCCWAAAGUUAAUUCAUGAGACAGUGUAGUUCAUACCUUAUUAUUUUACUAUAUUCGUUCAGUAUGUGUCUUACUAAAUUUACUUAAAGUUAACNNNNNNNNNNNNNNNNNNNNNNNNNNNNNNNNNNNNNNNNNNNNNNNNNNNNNNNNNNNNNNNNNNNNNNNNNNNNNNNNNNNNNNNNNNNNNNNNNNNNCAGGAUGGACGUGAACUGGGCCUGCCCCUGCCCACCGGAAUCUCCUGAGGCUGCGUGGGCGCGCUCCUCGCCGUCCUGCCCGCAUAUGCUUCCGCGCCGUCUGCCGCACCUGGAGGGAAGCCAUCCCGGAAGAGCAAGCCCGCGCGAUGCCGGCGCCGUGGGUCAUCGUACCCCGCGUCGACGGCUGCACCGACUCCUUCCUCGUACUCUCCGCGCCCACCAUGAACUCCUUCCGGUGGACGCCCCCGGACGGUGCGCGCGCCCGCUGCGUCGGCUCCAACGGCUCCUGGCUCGCCAUCGUCACCGUCGUCGACGUCCGGAGCCUCGCCAUCUCGCUCGUCAACCCGCUCACCGACGCGCGCGUCGAGCUCCCGCUCAUCACCGGCUGGCGAUGGGCGUUGGAUACCGAGCACGAUCUCGAGUUCGAGCUCGACGUCGUUGUCCGGAAGGUGGCCUUCUCCCCGAGCCCCAGCGCGCACGACUACGCCGCUGCCUACGUGUCUCCCUGCAGCCAAGCUGUGUUUUGCACCAGGGCCGGCACCCACCGCUGGCUUCCGCUCCCGGAGCUUGUCGGCGGUGACCGCGAGCACGAGGGCGUCAGGCGGGAGCUGGACGUGGCGUACCACGACGGCAAGUUCUACUACAUCGCCACCAGCGGCCAGGUGUGGGUGGUCGACAUGGCCGCCGCGCCGCCUCCCUCUCCCGUGCCGCUCCACGUCUUGUCGCCACCCUUGGACGGCUUGCUCACGUGCCGCGGAUACCACCUGGCUUUCUCUUCUACGCCGAUGGCGCGCUGCAUGUGGUGUGGAGCCGGAGCGAGGGCAAUGGAUACCCGCCGAGCUGGAACCUCUGGGACAUGGCCGUGACACGCUACGGCCUCGACGCGUCUGGCAAGGAGGGGUUUAGCGCUCCGGGGAGCAUCGUCGGCCGCCGCGCCUUCCUCAUCGGAGAUCGCAACCAGUCCAUGUCGGUCCCCGUUGACAACAAUUCCUGGCUCAGGCCCAACUCAAUCUACUUCGCCAACAUCCCGCUCUGCGUGAGCUUUUCGCCAUUGAAUGCCCUGGCCGUCGAGGCUUGCGGGCCUUCGACGUGGUCACCGGCAAGAUCACUUGGGUGCACGCACCAACCGGCAUGGACGUCGAGAGGCCGUUGAAAUCGGAAUGGAUGGCUCGGCCGCGCGAGAUGUUUGAUAAUAAACACUUGGGAUCCGAAUUGGACGUGGACUGGGCAAAAUCCCUUUGGUUCAUGCCCUGCUUGACACAACCGCCCAAAUAAAAAGUGUGGUGAGUGGUUUUUUGUAUACUCUGAUGAAAUACCGUGCAUGCAUUCACCGUCCGUCCUUUUUUGAGGUUCAUGCCAUGUUUUAUGAUAUUUAGUCUCGCAAAUUUCUUGUGUUUCAAAAUAUUACUUCCUCCGUCCACUGAUGGAAAAAGGGCCUUUGGUCGCGGUUCGCAACUGCCAUUAGUCGCGGUUGCGUAACCGCGACCAAAUAGGCGCGACUAAAGGCCCCCCCUUUAGUCGCGGUUGCUUAAGAACCGCAACUAAAGGCCCGUCCACGUGGGCGCCAGGCGGCCGUCGGGGCGGAGGACCUUUAGUCGCGGUUUUUCUGGCCAACCGCGACUAAAGGCCGCCACAGGGUUUAGCCCCCCCCCCCCCUAAACCUGUUUUUUHGUUUMAUUUGUUAUUGUUUUUAUUUUCUUUUUGUUGCUUUAUUUUAAUUUUGUAAGGAGUUUCUACAUAUUCUUACGGUACUACAUACAUGCAUAUGAAUGUACAAUUUCUAACAAAAUUUUAGUAAAAUUAAGUAAACCCAAAAAAAAGAAAAAUUUCCUAAAGAAGGGAAUAAUUAACAAAUAAUUAAUAAUUUNNNNNNNNNNNNNNNNNNNNNNNNNNNNNNNNNNNNNNNNNNNNNNNNNNNNNNNNNNNNNNNNNNNNNNNNNNNNNNNNNNNNNNNNNNNNNNNNNNNNAAAUAAUACUUAAAAUAACAAAAUAAAUAAUUAAUACAAAAAAAAUUAACAAGAARAAAWAWAAACUAAAUUACAAUUACAAUAAUAGUUAAAAACACAAAAAAUWAUAUACAAAAAAAUUAAAGAAAAAAUAAAACUAAAUUCAAAUUACAAAAAUAGUUUAAAAAAUAACAAAUAAAUAAUAUACAAAAAAUUAAGAAAAAAUAAAAACUAAAUUCAAUUCAAAAUGCACCAACCAGCCGGGACUAAAGGUUAGAUGACCAGCUCUGGAUUCCUCUUCUUCCCGCCAUUUCUUCCCUGUCUUCCCGCCUCUUUCUUCCCGCCUCCUGUCUUCCCGCUCCCAUUUUUCCCGCCAUUUCUCACUACAUAUAUGUAGCCCGGCUUGGCCAGCAUUAUCACAUCUCUACAAUCUCUCAUCACUCUCUCAUGGCUUCCACCGCACCCACUCUAACCUACCAGCAGGUGGAGGAGCUUUGCGCCUCGAACUACCCUUGUCCACCGGGCUACCGCGUCCCACCGGCUGGAGCCUAAGCGCCGGCGGCGUGCCGGUCCCUCCCGUCCCUCAGGGUACUGCGCGCCGGGCGGCCAUCACGAACCACUACUACCUCGACCUCACGCCGGAGCAGCGGAUGAAUCCCCGCUGGCAUCCCGAUAACCAGCAUACUUGGGACGCCUUCUUCAUCAAUCGGCGUGAGAGGGCGCUCGCCAGGUAUGUGGAGGACGGUCUGCCUCCUGGGAACUUCCACGAGGCCGGCCGUCGGCUAUGGUGGUACGGCCGGACUCUGCAGAGCGUCAUGGACUACAUCACGGCCGGCGAUAUCCCCCGCCUGCGCUACCCUCAGUUCGAGCCANNNNNNNNNNNNNNNNNNNNNNNNNNNNNNNNNNNNNNNNNNNNNNNNNNNNNNNNNNNNNNNNNNNNNNNNNNNNNNNNNNNNNNNNNNNNNNNNNNNNUACGUACGUACGUACGUACGUACGUAACCGUACUAACUACUAACUAUAUAUAUAUAUAUAUAUAUAUAUAUAUAUAUAUAUAUAUAUAUAUAUAUAUAUAUAUAUAAACUCUAUUCAUCACACAGGGUGCAGAAUAAAUUAUUCCUCACUCGAGUUAAUUUAAGACCAUUUCAUAAAUAAAUGAAAUUAGAAAUGCAAAUAGAUACAAUUAUAUUGAUUAACUACGGAAAAAUUUGCCAUAAUAAAACAAAAAUAUAGAUCAUAAGACUAGAAAAAUCGCAUUUUAUGUAUAAUUUACACUAUGUUUUUUUGUUUGUAAUUUUACGUGACAUAAAAUAUUUUUUACGGUGACUAUGUAUUUUUUUACGGUCUSUUUUUACGUAUGAAAUAAGAUUAAAAUUUAAGAAACGUAAAAUUACGGUGUAUUGAUGUGAAAAUAGAGGGGGGUGAAGAAUAACUAUUCCUCACCCAAGAUGACGAAUAGUGCGACCCUAUUCAUCACCGUAAAAAAAUACAUCACCCAGGGUGAAGAAUAGAAACUCUAUUCAUCACCCAGGGUGCAGAUUAAAUUAUUCUUCACCCGAGGUAAUUUUACGACCAUUUUAUAAAUAAAUUAACUUUGAAAUGCAAAUACAUACGUUUAUAUUGAUUCACUAUGAAAAAUUUGACAUAAGAAAACAAAAAUAUAGGUCAUAAGACCAGAAAAAUCACAUUUUUUUUAUAAUUUACACUAUGUUUUUAUGUUUGUAAUUUUACAUGACAUCAAAUAUUUUUUACGGUGAGUAUGUAUUUUUUUACAGUCUCUUUUUACGUAUGAGAUAAGAUUAAAAUUUUAGAAAUGUAAAAUUACGGUUUAUUGAUGUGAAAAUAGAGGGGGGAUGAAGAAUAACUAUUCCUCAUCCAGGGUGACGAAUAACGCGACCCAGGGUGCAGAAUAGUUUAUUCUUCACCCGAGAUAAUCUUACGAUCAAUUUACAAAUAAAUUAAAUUUUAAAUACAAAUAUUUACAUUUAUAUUGAAUCACUAUGUAAAAAUUGACAAAAUAAAAACAAAAAUAUAGGUGAUAAUACAGGAAAAAAAAUGUUUUUUUUUGUAUUUUUUGCACUAUUUUUGUAAGUUCGUAAUUUUACGUGAUAUAAAAUAUUUUUAUAUUGGUUAUAUUUUUUUUACAGUCUCGUUUCAUGUAUAAAAUAAAACAGAAUUUACGAAACGUAGCAUUGCCCCUCCUGUCGUACAGUGAAAAUAAUGGAAAAUAAUAAAUGGUCGCGUGACCAGCUAUCUUGUAGCCAGCUCCCGGCACGACGCGUGCCGUGGCGCGCGUGUACGUGUGCCUCGCUGCAGUAAACAAAAAGAAAGCAACGUCCCAUCACCGCGUCGGUCGGCCGAUUGAGACCGAGAGAGAGAGAGCACACACCAACAUCCGCCUUCACGGCCGAUCACGGGGCAGCGACGGGGCCGGACACGGCCGAUCCGCUGCACUCCACCACCUUCGCCUCCCACUACGUCCGCGACCAGCUCCCCCGGUCAGUCCCCUCCCUCACCUCCACACACCACGCCUACUCCUACCGGUAACCGGCCACCCACUACGGACGACACUGCCCCACCACCACCACCACUCCACUACAAGGCACACAGGGGAUAGSCCGACGCAGAAAACCUAGGCUCGAGCCCGGCCCGGUCCGGUCGUCAGGCCUAGAUCUCAGGCCCAGGUCCGGCCCAGUUCACCUGCUAAUUUCUGUCCGGGCUUNNNNNNNNNNNNNNNNNNNNNNNNNNNNNNNNNNNNNNNNNNNNNNNNNNNNNNNNNNNNNNNNNNNNNNNNNNNNNNNNNNNNNNNNNNNNNNNNNNNNAUUAUCAAUGUUUAUUAAAAUUUAAUAAAAAAUAAUGCAUAAUUACACAUGAAUCAGGUUAUGUCCAUCUUUUCGUCCGAUGCAACGCACGGGCAUUUGUACUAGUACUACUAAUAAACAAGCCAACAAUUUUUUUCUUACGAACAUCCCAUAAAAUGUACACGAAAAUAUAUCACCAUCAGAUCAACCCAUUGGAUYAWAKSWAWMAAUACUUGACACGCAGAAAACAGUAGCAACAAAAUGACACGAUCAACAUGCUACGUCUAUUAGUUUGGGUCUAGUCCAUCACAUGAUUCUCCUAAUGAUGUGAUCCCGUUAUCAAGUGACAACACUUGCCUAUGGCCAGGAAACCUUGACCAUCUUUGAUUAACGAGCUAGUCAACUAGAGGCUUACUAGGGACAGUGUUUUGUCUAUGUAUCCACACAAGUAUUGUGUUUCCAAUCAAUACAAUUAUAGCAUGGAUAAUAAACGAUUAUCAUGAACUAAGAAAUAUAAUAAUAACUAAUUUAUUAUUGCCUCUAGGGCAUAUUUCCAACAGUCUCCCACUUGCACUAGAGUCAAUAAUCUAGUUCACAUCACCAUGUGAUUCCAACGAAUCCAACACCCAUAUAGUUAUGGGGUCUGAUCAUGUCUUGCUUGUGAGAGAGGUUUUAGUCAACGGUUCUGAAACUUUCAGAUCCGUGCGUUCUUUACAAAUCUUUAUGUCAUCUUAUAGAUGCUGCUACUACGUGCUAUUCGGAAAUGCUCCAAAUAUCCACUCUACUAUAUGAAUCCGUUUCACUACUCAUAGUUAUUCAGAUUAGUGUCAAAGCUUGCAUCGACGUUACCCUUUACGACGACWCUUACCUAACCNCCACUAAUACGAGAAAAAUUAACCUUUAACGUUCCUACUUUGUUUACUUAAGGUAAGUAAAUUUUAGUUACCGCCUGCUAGUGAUUCUNNNNNNNNNNNNNNNNNNNNNNNNNNNNNNNNNNNNNNNNNNNNNNNNNNNNNNNNNNNNNNNNNNNNNNNNNNNNNNNNNNNNNNNNNNNNNNNNNNNNGGACACGGAGGCUCCUGAACCUACACCAGGGUGGGACGGCCAUGGCAACAUCUCGUGGGUUCGACGUGACAGUCUCUCAGGCCGGUGACAAAAGCAUCAAGAGGUUUGCAGCGACGGUGAACUCGUGCGACGUGCUGGUGGCGGUGCACGGCGCGGGCCUCACCAACCAAGUGUUCCUCCCGGCGCGGGCCGUGGUGGUGCAGAUCGUGCCGUUGGGCGGGAUGGAGUGGAUGGCCACGAACUUCUACGGCGAGCCGGCGCGCGACAUGUAGAUGUUAAUCAUGUUGCUCAUGUAGGAUUAGGAAAGAAAGCCAAACCGAGUCCUAGUAGUAUUAGGAUUCCUAGUCCUAGUCCUAUUUCCGUAGUCCCUUGUGGACGUGUAUAAAAGACACCCUAGGGGUGUUGAUUGUAACACCAGAAAAACGAAAAGCAAUACAAAGCAAAAGCUCGACACGGGCCUUUAGCCAUCAAAUCCAUCGAUCUUGACCAUAUCAAAUACCUCAGCACCAGUGCGUUCCGCAGGCUUCGGCCGGUGAUCUGCCUUGCCGUUGUAAUGCUUGCCUUUCUUUCUUACUGGAUGNNNNNNNNNNNNNNNNNNNNNNNNNNNNNNNNNNNNNNNNNNNNNNNNNNNNNNNNNNNNNNNNNNNNNNNNNNNNNNNNNNNNNNNNNNNNNNNNNNNNCUCGAUGGCGAGCACCAUAACAUCGACGACGUCCUCUUCGGCGAUCACCGGCCUCGGGCUAGGAUGGAUCUCACCGCCAUGACCUGCAGACGUCAAAUUGACGCGCGGGUCAAAUGAGGUGAACCACUAGGAGGCUACCGACGAUGUUUGAGCARAUGGUCAAGGYUCACURSCAWRGGCRAURUUGUCACUUGAUAACGAAUCACAUCAUUAGGAGAAUCAUGUGAUGGACUAGACCCAAACUAAUAGACGUAGCAUGUUGAUCGUGUCAUUUUGUUGCUACUGUUUUCUGCGUGUCAAGUAUUUAUUCCUAUGACCAUGAGAUCAUAUAACUCACUGACACCGGAGGAAUGCUUUGUGUGUAUCAAACGUCGCAACGUAACUGGGUGACUAUAAAGAUGCUCUACAGGUAUCUCCGAAGGUGUUAGUUGAGUUAGUAUGGAUCAAGACUGGGAUUUGUCACUCCGUGUGAACGGAGAGGUAUCUCGGGGCCCACUCGGUAAUACAACAUCACACACAAGCCUUGCAAGCAAUGUAACUUAGUGUAAGUUGCGGGAUCUUGUAUUACGGAACGAGUAAAGAGACUUGCCAGUAAACGAGAUUGAAAUAGGUAUACGGAUACUGACGAUCGAAUCUCGGGCAAGUAACAUACCGAAGGACAAAGGGAAUGACAUACGGGAUUAUAUGAAUCCUUGGCACUGAGGUUCAAACGAUAAGAUCUUCGUAGAAUAUGUAGGAUCCAAUAUGGGCAUCCAGGUCCCGCUAUUGGAUAUUGACCGAGGAGUCUCUCGGGUCAUGUCUACAUAGUUCUCGAACCCGCAGGGUCUGCAACUUNNNNNNNNNNNNNNNNNNNNNNNNNNNNNNNNNNNNNNNNNNNNNNNNNNNNNNNNNNNNNNNNNNNNNNNNNNNNNNNNNNNNNNNNNNNNNNNNNNNNGGGUUAGAGUGGGUGCGGUGGAAGCACUGAGAGAGUGAUGAGAGAUUGUAGAGAUGUGAUAAUGCUGGCCAAGCCGGGCUACAUAUAUGUAGUGAGAAAUGGCGGGAAAAAUGGGAGCGGGAAGACAGGAGGCGGGAAGAAAGAGGCGGGAAGACAGGGAAGAAAUGGCGGGAAGAAGAGGAAUCCAGAGCUGGUCAUCUAACCUUUAGUCCCGGCUGGUUGGUGCAUUUUGAAUUGAAUUAGUUUAUUUUUCUUAAUUUUUUGAUAUAUUAUUUGUAUUUUUAACAUUUUGAAUUGAAUUAGUUUUAUUUUUCUUAAUUUUUUGAUAUAAUUUUUGUGUUUUUAACAUAUUGAAUUGAAUUAGUUUUAUUUUUCUGAAUUUUUUGUAUAUAUUAUUUGUAUUUUUAAGAUAUUGAAAAAGAAAAGUAUUUUGAAAAAUACCUUUAGUCGCGGUUGGCCAGACCAACCGCGACUAAAGGUCGUUGCGCGCGGGAACGAAAAAAACCCUUUAGUCGCGGUUGGUUUGCCAACCGCGCCUAAAGUUUACCUUUAGUCGCGGGUCGCCUCCCCAACCGCGACUAAAGGGGGCGGGCUAUAAAUACAAGGGCCUGCCGCCGUCUUCUCCGAUUCUCGUCUUCUCCGAUUCUCUGCCGCGCGCGCCGAAGGCCUGCCGCCGUCGCCCUCGCCCUCGACGCCGCCCGCCGUCGCCCUCGCCCACCGCGCGCGCGCCGCCUCGCUCGCCCGCCCUCAACGACGCCGGCCGGCCUCGGGUACCUGCCGCCUCGCUCGCCCGCCCUCGCCGCCUCGCUCGCCCGNUUAACCGCCGCAAAUUUCUACAGAGUUUACNGAGUAUAAACUUUGUAUAUNNNNNNNNNNNNNNNNNNNNNNNNNNNNNNNNNNNNNNNNNNNNNNNNNNNNNNNNNNNNNNNNNNNNNNNNNNNNNNNNNNNNNNNNNNNNNNNNNNNNCCGGCGCCCGCCGUGACACGUGCCCCCUCUCCGAAAGACUUCCCAAAAAUGCGCCGGCGAUGAAGAAGACCAUCAGGAAGGUGUCCGCAAACGAAGAAGAAGCGGUGGAUGGCUCUACUAGGCUGCUUCAAACUAUAUAAUGUUUCGUUGUGUAUGAACAAUAAGAGUGCACUUUUGGAGUGGAUUUGCUAGCUGACAGUGAAACCCAACAAUACACUUUGAAACAAAUUAGAAAAGGAGGCAUAAAAAAAUAUAUCAUGUACUCCUUCUAUCUCAAAAUAAGUGACGUAAGUUUUUGUACUAAGUUAGUACAAAAUUUUUGUACUAAAGCAGCGUCACUUAUCUUGGGGACCACUGGUAGAAAAAGAGGCUUCCGUCCAGCCCCAUAAGUCGCGACACUGUAGGAACCGCGACUAAAGGUGCCCAAAKKYCUUUAGUCGCGGUUUGCCAUGCCAACCGCGACUAAAUCUCCUCCCCUAUAGAUACCAGUUCAGCACACUCACUUAGCCAUUUGGUGCCACUUCUCUUCACAAGCUUCACAAGGGGNNNNNNNNNNNNNNNNNNNNNNNNNNNNNNNNNNNNNNNNNNNNNNNNNNNNNNNNNNNNNNNNNNNNNNNNNNNNNNNNNNNNNNNNNNNNNNNNNNNNACCCGAACGGGACGAAUAAAGAAAUUACUAACUUAAUUAACAAGCAACGACCAACAACGCCUGGCAGCCAUAUAAUCAAUAAGAAUAAUAAACAACUUGGGAUCCGAAUUGGACGUGGACCUGGGCAAAANCCCUUUGGUUCAUGCCCUGCUUGACACAAACCGCCCAAAUAAAAAGUGUGGUGAGNGGUUUUUUUGUAUACUCUGAUGAAAUACCGUGCAUGCAUUCACCGUCCGUCCUUUUUUGAGGUUCAUGCCAUGGUUUUAUGAUAUUUAGUCUCGCAAAUUUCUUGUGUUUCAAAAUAUUACUUCCUCCGUCCACUGAUGGAAAAAGGGCCUUUGGUCGCGGUUCGCAACUGCCAUUAGUCGCGGUUGCGUAACCGCGACCAAAUAGGCGCGACUAAAGGCCCCCCCCUUUAGUCGCGGUUGCUUAAGAACCGCAACUAAAGGCCCGUCCACGUGGGCGCCAGGCGGCCGUCGGGGCGGAGGACCUUUAGUCGCGGUUUUUCUGGCCAACCGCGACUAAAGGCCGCCACAGGGUUUAGCCCCCCCCCCCCCUAAACCUGUUUUCUGUUUAAUUUGUAUUGUUUUAUUUCUUUUGUGCUUUAUUUUAAUUUUGAAGGAGUUUCACAUAUUCUACGGUACUACAUACAUGCAUAUGAAUGUACAAUUUCAAACAAAUUUGAAAUUAGAACCAAAAAAGAAUUCAAGAGGAAUAUACAAUAUAUAUUCAAUAUCAUCGGAUGACCAUAUACAAUUUUGAACAAGUUUUCCAUAACAUUAAAUUUAAAUGCAUAUAAAGUUCUACGUCCUCGUAAUGGUGUUCUCCUUUACGAUUGGAGGUACUUCCCUCCUGAACCAUCCAGCUUAGUUCCUCUUGAAGGUGGUUGGAAGCGAGCUUCUGGACUAAGCAUNNNNNNNNNNNNNNNNNNNNNNNNNNNNNNNNNNNNNNNNNNNNNNNNNNNNNNNNNNNNNNNNNNNNNNNNNNNNNNNNNNNNNNNNNNNNNNNNNNNNUCUNUCUUUUUACCUUUCCUUUUUCAGUNUAUUUUUNUUGAUUUNUUCUUUUCAUUUUUAUUCUUUCUUUCCUAUUUCUUAUUUUUCUUUCGUUUCUAUUUUUCAUGAAUUAUUUCUUUUUUACUAAAUUUUUGACUAUUUUUUGUAAUUCUUCCUUUUGUUAAAUCCGCUAAACUUUAUAAUUAAUGUAAUUUUUUGGAACCUUCGAAUUAUUUACCCAAAACCGUUAAACUUUUCUCCGAUUUCUGAAUGUAUUUUUAGAAAAUUUCAUGAGUUGUUUCAAAACCAUUAAGGAAUUUAAAAACCAUGUAUUUUUUGUCCAAAUUUGGUACAAAAAAAAUUUAAAUCAAUGAACUUUUUCCAAAUUUGUGAAUAGUGCUAUUCACAAUUUCUUUUUAAAUUUUAAAUUUUAAUUUUUCAAAUUCGUGUCAUUUCCAAAUUAAAACAUUAUUAUAUAUGUUUGCAUUUUUUUAAAUCUGUGAGUUGUUUUAUAUGCAUGAUUAUUUUUGGAAUCGCAAUGCUUUUUUCAACUUUACAAACUUUUUUUUAUUUUUAAAUCUGUUAACCUUUUCAAUUCCAUCGAUUUUACUGAAAUUGUUGAACUAACUUUUAGAUUCAAGGAAUUUCGUUUUUUCACGAAAUUAUUUGUUUUUUUAGUAAUUGUCAAAUCGGUGGUCAGACCGAUUUUUCGUGCACUAGNGCACAACGUAGACUCGAGAGGGUAAAACGAGGAAGAAGAGAGCGAUNNNNNNNNNNNNNNNNNNNNNNNNNNNNNNNNNNNNNNNNNNNNNNNNNNNNNNNNNNNNNNNNNNNNNNNNNNNNNNNNNNNNNNNNNNNNNNNNNNNNUUGGUGUGUGCUCUCUCUCUCUCGGUCNCAAUCGGCCGACCGACGCGGGUGAGUGGGACGGUUGUCUUUUCUUUUUUGUUUACUGCAGCGAGCACCACGUACACGCGCGCCACGGCACGCGGUCGUGGCCGGGAGCUGGCUACAAGAUAGCUGGUCACGCGACCUAUUUAUUUAUUUUCCAUUUAUUUUCACUGUACGACAGGGAGGGGCAAUGCUACGUUUACGUUAAAUUCUUGUUUUUAUUUUUAUACAUAGAAACGAGACUAGUAAAAAAAAUAUAACCAAUAUAAAAAUUAUUUUAUAUCAACGUAAAAUUACGAACUUAACAAAAAUAGUGACAAAAAAUAACAAAAAAAAACUAUUUUUUUUUCCUGUAUUAUCACCUAUUAUUUUUUGUUUUUUAUUUUGUCAAUUUUUACAUAGUGAUUCAAUAUAAAUGUAAAUAUUUGUAUUUAAAAUUUAAUUUAUUUGUAAAUUGAUCGUAAGAUUAUCUCGGGUGAAGAAUAAACUAUUCUGCACCCUGGGUCGCGUUAUUCGUCACCCUGGAUGAGGAAUAGUUAUUCUUCAUCCCCCCUCCUAUUUCUUACAACUCAACUAAAACCGUAAACUUUUUAACUUAUUUACUUAAAAACUUUUAAAAUUUACUUAUUCUUCCUAUAACGUUAAAAAANNNNNNNNNNNNNNNNNNNNNNNNNNNNNNNNNNNNNNNNNNNNNNNNNNNNNNNNNNNNNNNNNNNNNNNNNNNNNNNNNNNNNNNNNNNNNNNNNNNNGACGACGACAAUCAAGAUGAUGGUCACGGUCACGACGACUACGCCGACGACACGGAUGUCGAUGACACACCAAGGUCUCAGCCGUCUUCCUCAAGUGCAUCAACACCGACACAAUUUGUGUCGCCUCCCUCGCAAGCCACAACGGACUCCUCAGGGCCUCGUCGCUACAAGACCCUCAAGAAAGUCUACAAGUACACAAAGCCAGUUACGCUCGAGUACUCCGGACUAUGUCUGUUCGGAGUUGAGGAGCGGCGAACUUCAUAGAGGCGAGCAAAAGUCCUAGCUGGACGCACACCAUGGAUGAGGAGAUGAAGGCAAUUGAGAGCAAUGGCACGUGGACUUUGGUAACCCGACCUCCAAACCAAAAGACGAUAGGUUUGAAGUGGGUUUACAAGUUAAAGAAGGACACAGAGGGUGCCAUUGUGAAGUACAAGGCAAGACUCGUUGCAAAGGGCUACGUACAACGUCAAGGAGUUGACUAUGAUGAGGUGUUUGCAUCGGUUGCUCGAAUCGAGACGGUGAGAGUGCUCCUAGCUUUGGCAGCACAAGAGGAUUGGAAGGUUCAUCAUAUGGAUGUUAAAUCCGCUUUCCUCAACGGCGAUCUCACAGGAGAAGUGUACGUGGAACAACCCUCGGCUACGAGAAGAAAGGCGAAGAAGGGAAAGUUUACAAGCUUCAAGAAGGCACUUUACGKRKKGAUAGSAAGCGCCAAGAGCUUGGAACWCAAAGUUACCGRMCKARGUCUGGCCGUNNNNNNNNNNNNNNNNNNNNNNNNNNNNNNNNNNNNNNNNNNNNNNNNNNNNNNNNNNNNNNNNNNNNNNNNNNNNNNNNNNNNNNNNNNNNNNNNNNNNAUUUCGGAUUUUUGGUUUGACAGGGCCCGCAAGCUUUCUGUAUCCUUAUAAUAUGUGCUUGGUCUUUUUUUCCAUUUGGAUAUUUUAUUUGCAACAGUGGUAAGUUGAGUACGAGUUGACAUGUUCCAUGCUAUACAACUUGCCACCAAACAUUUUGAUAUUUUGAUACACCGGUUCUUCAUCAUUCACGACAUUUCCAAUGAAUGUUUUAUUUCUUGUCAAAAUUUGACAUGGGAGCAACUACUUGAUCCGUUCCCAGGUUUUUUAUUUGAUUCGGCACUACUUGGUGCGCGUCAACUCCCAAGACAAAAACUGCAUUUGGCACAAAAAAAUUGCCAUACGUUGUGUCUGCUCUACAUAGUUGUAAUGACUUCCACUUUACUUCAUGUUUCUUGUGUGAUCUUUGGGUCCGGUAUAUCAAAUCUGGCACCCUGUAUCUCUCUGGACGCGUCCGGAUGCAUCUGCAGAAGGUGACCGGCCAAUUCUCAAAUCACCGUGUCCACAUUUCUGUACUAUGCAUGCAAUGUAGAAAAAAAAUACUAACUAUUGCUAUGGACUCGUAGAUUCCAAUUAACUAUUCACACAUCAUCAUGNNNNNNNNNNNNNNNNNNNNNNNNNNNNNNNNNNNNNNNNNNNNNNNNNNNNNNNNNNNNNNNNNNNNNNNNNNNNNNNNNNNNNNNNNNNNNNNNNNNNACCUUUCUAAGAAAUCGGCGGGAAGGUAUCCGUAAUUACAGCCACGAGCUGUUUCUUCUCCGUCUAUGGUGAAGACCGAUGUUGGGCGAUCUUCCACUCUGACAUAUCCUGGCCUUCCCACUCACCUUCCUUGGAUCCUCCCCUUCCUCACAAAGUUAUAGAUGGCAUGAAGUUGAAGUCGCACUUCCUCUAGCAUGGUUGUCUGGGAGCAACCGCAUCGCUGGUCGCCAUUGGCGACGGAGUCGUUAUUUGCGGUGCCUCCUAAAGUCUUGAUGUCCAUGCCACGCGAACGCACCAUGGAUCCCAUGUGGGUAGCUCGUGCAAGGUUCAGCACCCACAUGUCGAGCUUCGGGGAUAUCCCAUGACGGUCAUGCCCACAUCCACCUUCGAUAGACGACCACUUCCACGAUGCGGCCCGUGGACGUGACUCGUUAGCCGGUGUAUCCACAGAAGCACGCCACGUGAGCCUGACAUGUGGGUUCAACUUGUCAGUUUCGCCAUUUUUUGCGAGCAUAUCACACAACUAGUGCUCUUCAUUAGUUUUUAGGUGUAAAGUUGAUGGUUUCCCGUGUCCUGCAUGAAACGUGGCACUAAGUUUUUACCUUAACCCUAGAUUACCUCGGUGGUGUGCGUAGCUGAAUGUGUGAAACCGAUACCCACGCCAGAGACUAGUAGAGACAAAUCCGCAUGUGUUUUGUCUUGCAGGACCGAGAUGGAGAUUNNNNNNNNNNNNNNNNNNNNNNNNNNNNNNNNNNNNNNNNNNNNNNNNNNNNNNNNNNNNNNNNNNNNNNNNNNNNNNNNNNNNNNNNNNNNNNNNNNNNAAAAAACACUGUCAACAGGGACGAUUCGUAGGGGGGGGGGGGCCUACCCCCCCCCCCCCCUUAAUAAAAUUGAUUUUUCUACUAUGAUAGUGGUUGUUGUAGAAAAAAAAAUUCACUUCAUAUGAAUUUUGCUCCCUUCAUGAAYAACSCCCCCCCCCCCAACAAAUUGAUUUUUCUACUAUAAUAGUGGUUGUUGUUAGCAAAAAAAAUUCACUUCAUAUGAACUUAGCCCCCUUCAUGAACAAACCCCCCCCCCCCCUCCCCAUGCUUGCAUGCUGGCUCCGUCCCUAAUUGUCAGGUAUAUCCCACACAAGAGACCUAGACUUUCAUCCUAGAACUUGGGACCGGGUGCUCGUCUAACUCCACAUAUGUGUUGCCGUCAUCAUUUUUGCAAUCUCAGUAGCUCCAUGCGAUGUGAAUUGCCACCACUGCACAAAUCAUUCCUUUGUGCAAAGCCGUUGUCCAGAGUUAUAAACACAUACUCCCUCCGUUCMUAAAUAUAAGUCUUUUAAGAGAUUUCAUUAGGGGUCUACAUACAAAAUAAAAUGAGUGAAUCUAUAGUCUAAAGUAUGNNNNNNNNNNNNNNNNNNNNNNNNNNNNNNNNNNNNNNNNNNNNNNNNNNNNNNNNNNNNNNNNNNNNNNNNNNNNNNNNNNNNNNNNNNNNNNNNNNNNAUUAUACUUGUUUAGGUUUUAGUCUGAUUAAACAAUAUGUUUAGAAGAAUAUAAAAGUUUGAUAUAAAAUUUAUUAAUAUGUUUAGAAGAAUAUGAAAGUUUGAUAUAAAAUUUAUUUAUUUUCGACUUCGCCCCGUGGCCCAAAAUUUGCUUGGACUGGCUCUGUCUCCUUCCCCAUUCCAAUUUCGCUUACAUUCUGGUGGUUGACCAGCGACCCAUGUCAGAUUUGCACUUACGGGAAAUGGGCAUACACUCUGAUUGACCAGCAACCCAUGUGAGAUUUGCACUUAUCAUUGAGAAAUGGCGAUAGGGUUAUAUGUGGGAAUAUAGGAAUUCGUUCGUUGGUUGUAUGUUUUGAGUAUAUGGAUUCGUUAGUUGUAUGUUAGUAAUUACAAUCAGCUAGAGUAACUUGCACAAGGGGAAGGGUAUGAGGAAGCGAGGACCAUGUAUAAUCACUAUCAGUUUCCUUGUAUUUGGAAUCCUUCUGUUCACUACUGUUAUUGUCUUUUGUUUCGUUACAAGGCAACGCCCCAUGUCCUUCCUCAACUGAAUUGUCAAAAAUCACUGGUUUGUUGUAGGUGAGAUAACCGGCAUCGCCAAUGAGUGCUUUAUGAAUGUAUACCCUUUCCGUCGUGAACUAGGGCCAAUGGUUAUCCUGUGGAAGGUAUGUUUAUGUACCAUCACAUGUUAUGCGUCUUUUGAUAAUUCAGUGUUUAAUGUGAUAAUCAAUUUUAUCGUGAUUUGGUUGUAAACAGUCUGGGGUCCCUGAGGAGAGCAACACCAUGUUUAAACUAAAGGUUGGCCUAAUUGGUAAGAAUUGAAUUGCUUAGUUAAAAUAUAUGUUAUUGCUAGUUACAGAUGCUAAUUGGUAACAUUAUCUAACCUGUUUCUGUUUUCAAGGUUUUGGAUCGAUAGGGAGACAAAUAGCCGAGGCAUUAGUCGAUAUCAAGGACGUUGAUUUGAUUACAAUCUGUGACGAGCUUAAAACAAGUGAUAUGGUAAUAGAGAAACUACAUUAUUAAGUUCUUACGUCUCUUUGUUCUAGUGUUCCAUGUCUUUUCCUUCCAGCGUUCUCAUUUGUUCCCACAGAUCCACCGUGGCUAGAGUUAUGCAAAAUCAUUUAGCAUGCAGUAGUUUAAGGGAAAAUAGGAGGAAAUCUCAAUUCAGAUGAAAGAAAACAAAACAGAUAAACUACAAGUGUAAAACUAACUCUUGCACAAGCACCAACUAGUGAUCAUUGAUUGUGGAACCCAUCAUUUAUCAUAAACAUUAUUUUAAUGCAAAUCUGUGAAACUGAAGCUCAGCAAGUCAUUAUAUUUGUGCAGGUUACUGCUUGAAAGAGCAGCAAGUUCAGCUUGAGGGGCUCUGGUGGAAAGUCGCUCAUGUUCCUGAAGAAAGCUGCUGACAUUGUCAAUGAGGAUGGCAUUCUGGUCUCAGUUAUCAUUCCCAGGUAACUGUCUUCUGUACUUGGCUGUAAUUACACCUGGGAUUGUUUUUUUUCGAAACGGAGGCAAUCCGUUUAAAAAAAUGUUUGUAAGUGUGUGCUGUACUUGGCUGUAAUUUUACCUGGGAUUAUCAAAUUUGUUUGUAACUGUCUGCUGUACUUGGCUUUUUUUGGAACCAGGGAACAUGAGAAAACCCCUUGGGGCUAUCUUCCGGUGAAUUACGUCAUUGACAUGCUAAGUCUCUCCUCCGAGGACAAGUCUGUUGCGUACUCAUCGCAUGACCAAAUUGAUCCACCUAAUGUGGCAGAAACGACACUGAUUUGCCAAAGCAGCUGCAUAGUACUGUCUACACCAUGAUGUAUUGUGACGAGGGAGUUCCAAGUAGUGGCUUUAAUCCAUCAAUGAAAUACAUCAAGUUUAGCAUCAGUGAUAACGAUUGUAAGAAGGUAGGGUAUUUCCAACUUCUCUUUUCCUUGAAAUUUAUUUGUUGUUUCCGAGGUUCAGAACUAAUGCUUGUUUCUGCAAGUUUGUGAAAAAUUUGAACUUCACAUUUCUUAAAGAUUUACAGAUGUGGAACAUAAUAUUUGUGUAUACGAGUUUCUGCUGUCCACCCUGAUGAGAGCUGGUUCGUGACAUGGUGAUAAUUUCAUGCUUGCUCUUCAUUUGAUUGGUGUGACAUCAUGAUAUAUUUUGCUCCAGUUAUUGUUUUUGUUGUGUUGCUGUACUGUGCGCAUAUACAGCAUUGCACUCCAUCUAGUUAUAUAGUCAUGAAAAUUGUUUGUAUUUCAGUACACUCCAAUGGUAAUGGUACAAGCUCACUUUUUACUAUGUAGGUUUGCUUUAUUUUGCUUUUACAUGCUGCCCAUUCUAAGUUUUAGGUCUUUAGAUAAAUGUAUGCAAGUUUUAAUCAGUGGAUUUGUUCUCAAGUGUAGAUUUUGAUAGCAAAAUUUGUCUGGGUGAUGAGAUGUGUUAAUUUGCGCAGUUUGUUGUUGAAAACAUGCCUGAAUGGAGAUCUUCAUCUGCAAAUAUUUGCUUCUAUGAUCACUGUGAUCCUACAAAUAGGCUAUGUGACCCCCUGACGGAGCUUCAUGUGAGGUAAGUUCUUGCAUCAGUUACCCGAGGAUGCUUUAUUUGCAGUCCAACAUUUUAAAUAAAAAACUACCCUAUUUGCAUGAGCACCCUACUCAUAUUUUUUUUAUUUGUUACUGUUUGAAAUUUAAAGCUGAGAACAUGCAAGUUUGCAUUAGUUUUCCGUGAUAACGAGGAGGAAGCUGAACACAGAGAAGGAGUCCGUCUAAUUUCUGUGCUGAGCUGCUGUAUUCGGAUUCUAAAGGGUGUAGCGGUUGGAGGCAUAUUCUUGAUGUUCUAGAGGCGUAUGCCAAUCGGGGGCUUCUGCGUUCAAAUAUAAUGUCGCUUCCACUCACUUCAGCUUAACGACGUAACACCUUGACACAGACGCCAGCAGUCCGCUGGAUACGUCGAACUAUUGCCCUGCCCUGUCGAGGCAUGUAAUGUUUCUCGGAUCAAACGGACGAACAGAAGAGAUGCUAGGAAGCGGACGUGUGUUUGUGUGAAAUGAACAAACGAAGAACAGAGCUGGAUGAUCACGUAUAGUACACUGCCAUUCCAUGGUUGUAGUCACGUACGUAUAGUUCUUUUCACGUAUAGUUGUAUUCCAAAUCUCACUGCCCUGAUGUGGAUAUAGAACCAAAUCUCAUGUUGGUCCUGAGUAAUCUCGUGGUGUUCUUGAGUAAUCCAACUAGGAUCGUAACUACAGUUGGCAUCUCACAGCUUUAAUCCUCAUUUACCAUUUCCUCUGCUGGUAAAAAUCCAAUUGAUUGCAUGAUCCCUAAAAUCUAUGGCAAAAGGUGUGAAAUCGCCACGCAAGGUUCUUUGGAACACACCUUAGCUCGGGUUGGAUCACGGUUGUGCCAAAUUGUUGCUCACUAUGUGUUCAACGAGAUGGCUCAGAGUGACCAGAUGAAGACAGUGCUUGAAUUACUGACGUGGAUCUAAGAGGAUGUCGCCACGAAACAAUGAGAAGCUUGAUUGAAACUUGGCAAACCUUGAUCCUCUUUAGAAGGAGUUGUAGUCGGUGCGCAAGGCCCUUAAGGAUUGGAAGCCGGACGUGGAUCAACACACAUCACUCAGUUGCAUCUUAGGGUGUCCUUCUACGGAUCUGAGCAAGACAUCUCGUCAUACGGAGAACAUCGCCGGCUCCGAUGAAGAAUCGCCAUUGACUCGGACUGCAUCGGCAAAGUAUGUGCCACCGCACGAGAUCGAACAUGUAAGCCAAAUUGGCUGCCGUGAAGAAUCGACUACACGGGGCCAGCCUGGUGUUGCCAUCAUGGUGUUGCCUUCGGCCAUUGAUACGAUGCCGACCCCUCAUACCCCUCCUUCUGUAACUGAGAAGUAUUCUCCUUUGCCAUCGACUCGGACUGCAUCGACAAAGUAUGUGCCACCGCAUGAGAUCGGACAUGUAAGCCAAAUUGGGUGCCGUGACGAAUCGACUGCAUGGGGCCAGCCUGGUGUUGCCUUCAGCCAUUGAUACGAUGCCGACCCCUCAUACCCCUCCUCCUGUAACUAAGAAGUAUUCUCCUNNNNNNNNNNNNNNNNNNNNNNNNNNNNNNNNNNNNNNNNNNNNNNNNNNNNNNNNNNNNNNNNNNNNNNNNNNNNNNNNNNNNNNNNNNNNNNNNNNNNGCCGGUGGGGACGCGGUAGCCCGGUGGACAAGGGUAGUUCGAGGCGCAAAGCUCCUCCACCUGCUGGUAGGUUAGAGUGGGUGCGGUGGAAGCCAUGAGAGAGUGAUGAGAGAUUGUAGAGAUGUGAUAAUGCUGGCCAAGCCGGGCUACAUAUAUGUAGUGAGAAAUGGCGGGAAAAAUGGGAGCGGGAAGACAGGAGGCGGGAAGAAAGAGGCGGGAAGACAGGGAAGAAAUGGCGGGAAGAAGAGGAAUCCAGAGCUGGUCAUCUAACCUUUAGUCCCGGCUGGUUGGUGCAUUUUGAAUUGAAUUAGUUUUAUUUUUCUUAAUUUUUUGAUAUAUUAUUUGUAUUUUUAACAUUUUGAAUUGAAUUAGUUUUAUUUUUCUUAAUUUUUUGAUAUAAUUUUUGUGUUUUUAACAUAUUGAAUUGAAUUAGUUUUAUUUUUCUGAAUUUUUUGAUAUAUUAUUUGUAUUUUUAAGAUAUUGAAAAAGAAAAGUAUUUUGAAAAAUACCUUNNNNNNNNNNNNNNNNNNNNNNNNNNNNNNNNNNNNNNNNNNNNNNNNNNNNNNNNNNNNNNNNNNNNNNNNNNNNNNNNNNNNNNNNNNNNNNNNNNNNGAAUCUGAGAUAACUCCUGAGCCUGCCAUUCCUAUGGAAUACUAUGAACAAACACAUGAUGAAAAUCCUGAGGAGGAUGAGGAGGAAGCCCGUGGUAGGGGCAAGAGACAAAGGACUGCAAAGACCUUUGGUGAUGAUUUCUUCGUAUACCUCGUGGAUGAUAAUCCCUCUUCUAUUUCACAAGCGUAUGCUUCUCCAGAUGCUGAUUAUUGGAAAGCUGCGGUCCGUAGCGAGAUGGAUUCCAUCAUGGCUAACGGGACAUGGGAAAUCACUGAUCGUCCCUAUGGUUGCAAACCAUUGGGAUGCAAGUGGGUGUUCAAAAAGAAGCUUAGGCCGGAUGGUACGAUUGAAAAGUACAAGGCUAGGCUUGUGGCCAAGGGCUAUGCCCAGAAAGAAGAGGAAGAUUUCUUCGAUACUUAUUCACCUGUGGCUAGACUGACCACCAUUCGAGGACUACUCUCAUUGGCGGCCUCUCAUGGUCUUCUCGUUCAUCAAAUGGACGUUAAGACGGCUUUCCUGAAUGGAGAGCUAAAUGAGGAAAUCUAUAUGCAACAGCUAGAUGGCUUUGUGAUAGAAGGUCAGGAAGGAAAGGUGUGUAAGUUGCUNNNNNNNNNNACUUUCUUUAAUGGAGAGCUAAAUGAGUUAAUCUAUAUGCAACAGCCAGAUGGCUUUGUGAUAGAAGGUCAGGAAGGAAAGGUGUGUAAGUUGCUGAAAUCUUUAUAUGGUCUGAGACAAGCACCUAAGCAAUGGCAUGAGAAGAUUAAUAAUACUCUGACAUCUGUUGGCUUCGUUGUUAAUGAAGCUGACAAAUGUGUAUAGUAUCGCCAUGGUGGGGGCGAAGGAGUUAUAUUGUGCUUGUAUGUUGAUNNNNNNNNNNNNNNNNNNNNNNNNNNNNNNNNNNNNNNNNNNNNNNNNNNNNNNNNNNNNNNNNNNNNNNNNNNNNNNNNNNNNNNNNNNNNNNNNNNNNUGGGAUUCCCAUCCGUACUUGAAGGGUAUAGUGAUGCAAAUUGGAUCUCCGAUUCUAAUGAGAUGAAGGCUACCACUGGGUAUAUGUUUACUCUUGGGGGUGNNNNNNNNNNGAAGAGAAGGUGCCCUCGCGCACUCCUCCUCCGUCGCCCGCCUCGCCACGCCACGCCUCGUCACAACGCGCCGCGUGUUGUGGGAAUGAGCCGAGCCGAGCUCAUAUCUGCGCGCUUAUUUUUGCCGGUCAGGAACGGAGAAUACGUAACGGACAAGGCACGAUCCGAGACGUUGGAUCGUGGCUGUUACCGACUCGGACAUGGGCUUGGCCCACGUCUCUCCACCCAGCCGCCUUUAUAAGCACGCGAUCGCCUACCCUAGCCGUCACGAGAAUCAGAUCACAUCUGUCUCACGCGUUCGUUCCUUCAACUGCCGCCGGCGACUCCGUCCCGUUUACCGCGUACAUGGUCGACGGGAGAGCAGGCCCCGAAACCUCGCCUCUCCGGUUCCUGUACGGGAGAGGGGCGAUUAGGUUUUUGGGGAGCGAUCACGCGACUUCUCGCCUCCGUCCGUCUGCUUCGUCUACGUCCGCGUCGCCUUCGUCAUNNNNNNNNNNNNNNNNNNNNNNNNNNNNNNNNNNNNNNNNNNNNNNNNNNNNNNNNNNNNNNNNNNNNNNNNNNNNNNNNNNNNNNNNNNNCACCACUGCUGCUGCUACGGCCAACUGGCCGAUUGGAGGGUAUGACUCGUUUAUCNNNNNNNNNNGUGCUGUUUCCUCGAAGUCUUGCAAGCAAACGAUCUUAACAAGAUCGACAUUGGAAGCAGAAUUAACAGCAUUAGACACAUCUGGUGUCGAAGCAGAAUUUCUUCGAGAUCUUUUGAUGGACUUACCUGUGGUUGAGAAGCGAUAAUCAGACGGUUAUUGUUAAAGUGAAGAGUUCAAAGGACAAUAUGAAGUCCAACAAANNNNNNNNNNCGGUUCCGGCUAUCCUUAUGAACUGCGAUAAUCAGACAGUUAUUGUUAAAGUGAAGAGUUCAAAGGACAAUAUGAAGUCCAACAAACAUAUAAGGAGAUUGAAGUCUGUCAGACGUUUGAGAAACUCCGGAGUGAUAGCGUUGGAUUAUAUCCAAACGGCUAAGAAUCUGGCAGAUCCCUUUACUAAAGGGCUAUCAUGUGUUGUGAUAGAUAGUGCAUCGAGGGAGAUGGGUAUGAGACCCACAUGAGUUGCCAUGGUAGUAACCCAACCUAUAUGAUCGGAGAUCCCGUGAAGUAGGACCUGGGAAAACAAGCCAGUGGUGAACUGAGGAGAGUAACUUUACUAACCCACUCCGUUGGAGAUGCAAUACUCUCGGAUACUGUAUGGUAGGAUGACUACUGUCUUAAUGUGUUCUAAAGCUUAUAUGUAAGCAAGAUGCUGUCCUACAUAGCGAUCUUUGGAGGAACACACCUAUAUGAGCUUGACUGCUGGUCACAGUCUAUGAGGUUUGGGUGAUCUCUAGUAAACUCAUGAAUAGGCCAGNNNNNNNNNNAGUCUUAAUGUGUUCUAAAGCUUAUAUGUAAGCAAGAUGAUGUCCUACAGAGCGAUCUUUGGAGGAACACACCUAUAUGAUCUUGGCUGCUGGUCACAGUCUAUGAGGUUUGGGUGAUCUCUUGUAAACUCAUGAAUAGGCCAGGAGUGUGACUAAUAUGCUCCAUCCGAGGGGUCACCUUCGGCAGUCUAGUACUAGUAAGACUUGUGGUGAAGCUCCUUUACGCCAAACUGACAAUUCAAGGCAUAGUCCAUUGUUCAGUUGUAAAGGGGUGUAGCUACUUGUUCUAGGUGAAGCUCAACCUUAAUAGGUAUUCACUGAAAUGCUGGUAUAUUAAAACAGUCAUUGGAACGAGGGAACACGAUGUGCCCUUGAGAUCUGGUGGGGGAUUGUUGAAAUUUGGAGGUGGGCUUUAGGCCCAUUAGAGAAUUUCAGAAANNNNNNNNNNNNNNNNNNNNNNNNNNNNNNNNNNNNNNNNNNNNNNNNNNNNNNNNNNNNNNNNNNNNNNNNNNNNNNNNNNNNNNNNNNNNNNNNNNNNNNNNNNNNNNNNNNNNNNNNNNNNNNNNNNNNNNNNNNNNNNNNNNNNNNNNNNNNNNNNNNNNNNNNNNNNNNNNNNNNNNNNNNNNNNNUAAGAGAAGGUGCCCUCGCGCACUCCUCCUCCGCCGCCCGCCUCGCCACGCCACGCCUCGUCCCGACGCGCCGCGCCGCGCCGCGUGUUGCGGGAAUGAGCCGAGCCGAGCUCAUAUCUACGCGCUUAUUUUUGCCGGUCAGGAACACAGAAUACGUAACGGACAAGGCACGAUCCAAGACGUCGGAUCGUGGCUGUUACCGACUCGGACGUGGGCUUGGCCCACGUCUCUCCACCCAGCCGCCUUUAUAAGCACGCGAUCGCCUACCCUAGCCGUCACGAGAAUCAGAUCACAUCUGUCUCACGCGUUCGUUCCUUCAAGUGCUGCUGCCGCCGGCGACUCCAUCCUGUUUACCGCGUACACGGUCGACGGGAGAGGAGGCCUCCGAAACCUCGCCUCUCCGGUUCCUGUACGGGAGAGGGGCGAUUAGGUNNNNNNNNNNUCUGCUGCCGCCGGCGACUCCGUCUCGUUUACCGCGUACACGGUCGACGGGAGAGCAGGCCUCCGAAACCUCGCCUCUCCGGUUCCUGUACGAGAGAGGGGCGAUUAGGUUUUUGGGGAGCGAUCACGCGACUGCUCGCCUCCGUCCGUCUGCUUCGUCUACGUCCGCGUCGCCUUCGUCAUCGCCAUGUCUUCACCAAGCGAAGCUGACCGUCUCCGCGAGAAGGCCGAAGCCGAGAAGAAGGCGGCAGAGGAUACUGCCGCNNNNNNNNNNUGCCAUGUCUUCACCAAGCGAAGCGGACCGUCUCCGCGAGAAGGCCGAAGCCGAGAAGAAGGCGGCAGUGGAUACUGCCGCCGCCACCGCUGCUGCUACGGCCAACUGGCCGAUUGGAGGGUAUGACUCGUUUAUCCUCAUGUUCGUGUUUAUCCUAGCAGUGCUACUUGUCUGCAUAGAUGUAUCCACUAUAUGCGUAGUAUGUGCUAGGUUAGCUCAAGAUCAGUAUAUCAUUAGUCUAGUCAAUGCCAUGCUAGUUAUUAUCUCGUGGAUUAAUAUCCUCGGAAAAUUGCCUAUUUACUCAACAAUCCAAAAACCUAAUGUCUGUAGGAAUUUUUCGAGUAAUGAUUUUGCUGCUGCACUGAAACCGGAUAAGUUUACCGGUACUUUUUUCAAGCGUUGGCAAACGAGAACCACCUUAUGGCUCACGGCUAUGAACGUGUUCUGGGUAGCCGGUGUCACUCCUACGGAAACUAUCACUCCUGAACAGGAGAAGAUNNNNNNNNNNUGUUGGCAAACGAGAACCACCUUAUGGCUCACGGCUAUGAACAUGUUCUGGGAAGCCGGUGUCACUCCUACGGAAACUAUCACUCCUGAACAGGAGAAGAUNNNNNNNNNNACAUGCUAGUUAUUAUCUUGUGGAUUAAUAUACUCGGAAAAUUGCUUAUUUACUCAACAAUCCAAAAACCUAAUGUCUGUAGGAAUUUUUUGAGUAAUGGUUUUGCUGCUGCACUGAAACCGGAUAAGUUUACCGGUACUUUUUUCAAGCAUUGGCAAACGAGAACCACCUUAUGGCUCACGACUAUGAACGUGUUCUGGGUAGCCGGUGUCAGUCCUACGGAAACUAUCACUCCUGAACAGGAGAAGAUGUUUAAGGAGGCCACCGUCCUAUUCCUUGGAGCAGUCAUUAGCGUGAUCGGAGAUAAGCUGGUUGAUGCAUAUUUAGAUAUGCAUGUUGCCAAGGACUUGUGGGAGGCGCUCGACUCUAAAUUCGGGGCCACCGAUGCUGGGAGUGAGAUGUAUGUUAUGGAGCAGUUCCACGAUUACAAAAUGGUUGACAACCGUUCUGUAUUGGAACAAGCUCAUGAGAUAAUAUGCAUAGCUAAGGAACUUGAGGUUCUUAAGUGCAAUUUGUCGGGCAAGUUUGUCGCGGGCUGUAUAAUUGCUAAGCUCCCUAAUUCCUGGAGGAACUUUGCUACUACUCUGAAACAUCAGAGGCGUGAGUUCUCAGUAGAGGACAUCAUCGGCCAUCUGAGUAUUGAGCAGAACUCGAGAGCAAAGGACUCCAAUGGAAAAGCGGUGGAAAGCUCUUCUGCUGCCAAUAUGGUACAUCAGAGGAACUUCAAUUCUGACAAGCCCAAGGGAAAGAAUUCUGACCAACAGAAUACCGACUUCAAGAAGAAGGGANNNNNNNNNNUCUGCCAAUAUGGUACAUCAGAGGAACUUCAAUUCUCACAAGCCCAAGAGAAAGAAUUUUGUCCAACAGAAUACCGACUUCAAGAAGAAGGGAAAGAAGCCCUUCAAGAAGAAUAAGAAGGGAGAUGGCUGCUAUACUUGUGGUUCAGAGGAACAUUGGGCGAACAAAUGCCCAAACAAGUACAAGAAGCCGGCGCAGGACUCCAAGUCUGCCAACAUGAUUGUGGGCAACAAUGAAAGUGGUGCAUCUGGGUACGGUAAUUUACUUACUGUAUUUACAGUUUGUUAGUCCACCGAUUGGUGGGUGGACACGGGUGCAAAUAUUCAUGUGUGUGCUGACUUAUCAUUGUUCUCUUCUUAUCAGGCCACCGGUCGCGGGUCCGUAUUGAUGGGGAAUAGAGCGAGUGCUUCUGUUCUUGGUGUUGGCACGGUCGAUCUGAAGUUUACUUCGGGAAGGAUCGUGCAGCUGAAGAACGUGCAGCNNNNNNNNNNGGCGCGAGUGCUUCUGUUCUUGGUGUUGGGACGGUCAAUCUGAAGUUUACUUCGGGAAGGAUCGUGCAGCUGAAGAACGUGCAGCAUGUCCCCGCCAUCAAGAAGAAUCUCGUUAGUGGCUCCCUUCUGUGUAGAGAAGGGUUUAAGUUGGUAUUCGAGUCUAAUAAAGUAGUAGUUACGAAAUAUGGACUUUUCGUUGGAAAAGGUUAUGAAUGCGGAUGUCUGUUCCGCCUUUCUCUUGCAUAUUUUUGUAAUAAAGUCGUGAACAAUAUUCAUUCGAGUGCUAAUGAAUCUGAAGUUUGGCAUUCACGUCUUUGUCACAUAAGUUUCGGNNNNNNNNNNNNNNNNNNNNNNNNNNNNNNNNNNNNNNNNNNNNNNNNNNNNNNNNNNNNNNNNNNNNNNNNNNNNNNNNNNNNNNNNNNNNNNNNNNNNGUCAGUAUCCGUAUACCUAUUUCAAUCUCGUUUACUGGCAAGUCUCUUUACUCGUUCCGUAAUACAAGAUCCCGCAACUUACACUAAGUUACAUUGCUUGCAAGGCUUGUGUGUGAUGUUGUAUUACCGAGUGGGCCCCGAGAUACCUCUCCGUUCACACGGAGUGACAAAUCCCAGUCUUGAUCCAUACUAACUCAACUAACACCUUCGGAGAUACCUGUAGAGCAUCUUUAUAGUCACCCAGUUACGUUGCGACGUUUGAUACACACAAAGCAUUCCUCCGGUGUCAGUGAGUUAUAUGAUCUCAUGGUCAUAGGAAUAAAUACUUGACACGCAGAAAACAGUAGCAACAAAAUGACACGAUCAACAUGCUACGUCUAUUAGUUUGGGUCUAGUCCAUCACAUGAUUCUCCUAAUGAUGUGAUCCCGUUAUCAAGUGACAACACUUGCCUAUGGCCAGGAAACCUUGACCAUCUUUGAUUAACGAGCUAGUCAACUAGAGGCUUACUAGGGACAGUGUUUUGUCUAUGUAUCCACACAAGUAUUGUGUUUCCAAUCAAUACAAUUAUAGCAUGGAUAAUAAACGAUUAUCAUGAACUAAGAAAUAUAAUAAUAACUAAUUUAUUAUUGCCUCUAGGGCAUAUUUCCAACAGUCUCCCACUUGCACUAGAGUCAAUAAUCUAGUUCACAUCACCAUGUGAUUCCAACGAAUCCAACACCCAUAUAGUUAUGGGGUCUGAUCAUGUCUUGCUUGUGAGAGAGGUUUUAGUCAACGGUUCUGAAACUUUCAGAUCCGUGCGUUCUUUACAAAUCUUUAUGUCAUCUUAUAGAUGCUGCUACUACGUGCUAUUCGGAAAUGCUCCAAAUAUCCACUCUACUAUAUGAAUCCGUUUCACUACUCAUAGUUAUUCAGAUUAGUGUCAAAGCUUGCAUCGACGUUACCCUUUACGACGAACUCUUUAACCACCUCCAUAAUCGAGAAAAAUUCCUUAGUCCAUUUGUUACUAAGGAUAAAUUUUGACCGCUGCUAGUGAUUCAAACAUGGAUCACUCUCUGUACCUCUCAACAUACUUUGAGUCAAGGCACACUUCAGGUGCGGUACACAGCAUGGCAUACUUUAGAUUCUACGGCUAAGGCAUAGAAGACGACCUUCAUCUAUUCUCUUUAUUAUGCCGUGGUCGGGUUUUGAGUCUUACUCAAAUUCACACCUCACAACGCAACCAAGAACUCCUUCUUUGCUGGUCUAUUUUGAACUCUUUCAAAAACUUGUCAAGGCAUGUAUCUUGUUGAAACUUCUAUUAAGCGCUUUCGAUCUAUCUCCAUAGAUCUUUGAUGCUCAACCUUCAAGUAGCAUAAUCCAGGUACUCCUUUGAAAACUUCUUUCAAACAACCUUGUAUGCUUUACAGAAAUUCUACAUUACUUCUGAUCCACAAUAUGUCAACCACAUAUACCUAUCAGAAAUUCUAUAGUGCUCCCACUCACUUCUUUGGAUUAACUGGUCAACUGACCAGUGGGUCCCGAGCGUCAUAGGCACAAGUUUUAAUAUCGAUUAAAUAUUGAUUUAUCAGAUUAAUUUAAUGAGGGACCCACGUGGCAUUCUCUCAUUAUUCUAAUUAAUUAAUUUAACUAAUAUAUCUAUUUAACUAAUUCAUUAACUCAUUAAUUAAUUAUUAUAUCUAUUUAUUUAUUUAUAAAAACAUAUAUUUUUAUUAUUUUUAUUAACUAUCGCGUGGGGCCUCCCUGUCAUAGACAGCGGGUGCAUUGGCCCCACCGGUAAGUGACCCUAGGCCAAAAACACAUUUUUAAUCACAAAUACAUAACCAUACAAAUGUCGUAUUUCUCCACAUGCCUAUAUACGCAAAUACAUACAUAAAUAUGGGUAUCAAAUACAUACAUACACACAUACAUACGGAAUACAACAUUUGUUUUUUUUUUCUCUCAAAACUCUCAUCUCCCUCUCUCUGUUAAUAAAUAUAACAGAGAGGUUCUUUGCUAACUCCACAUAGAAGAACCAAAUGUUCAAUCCUUCCUACCGGAGUCUACCAUCGACGGAUCGAAGCCUCGUUUGCCGGAACGGAACCGGGGCGGUGAGGGGAACGCGACGGUGGGAGGAGCCCGAGGAGGGGCUCACCGACGUUGACGGGAGGGGCCGGUGAAGCCGGAGUUCGCGGGAAGGGGCGGAGGAGACGGCGUGGAGGCGUUCCUGGAGGCGGUGAUGAUGAUGCCGGUGAGGACGGUGGUGAUGGUGGUGACGCGCCGGCGAGGGCCUCCCGGAGCCGUGGUGGUGGUGGUUGCCGGAGUUGGUGAAGGGGCCGGCCGAUGGUGGUCCGGGGGAUUGUCGACCGAGGUGUGGGGGCUCGGGUUGGGGUCGAGAGGGGCCGGCCGACGGGAUGGGGAGGGCCCCGGCCGCCGGAUCUGGAGGGGUGGUGGUCGGCUCUAGGGGAGAGGCGAGGGAGGCCGGCGGUGGAGAGGUGCUGGCCGGCGUGGUGGAGGGCCGAGGGACUCGCCGGUUCGGUGGGAUGGGGGAGGGGCUUCGGGUGGACGAGGAGGUGGCCGAGGUGGGGAGGGAGCGGUGUAACGAGAGGAGAGGUUCCUCUCAUGGGGGGAAGAUCUGGUGGGGAGGAGAGGGAGUUGCGAGGUGAGAGGAGGGUUCCUCUCGUGGGCUGGGUGGGGGCUCGGUGUGGAGGGGUUUGGUGGGGAGGGAACCGACAGGCAGGGGAGGGAUCGGUGGGGGUGGGGCCUCCAGCGAUGGGAAAGGUGGGUGGCGGCGGCCGAGGGGGGGGGCUGACGAGGGAGGGAGGGGUCUCGCGAGGGGGUGGGGAGCGAGGGUCUCGCCAGGGGGAGUGCUAGGGUUCCUAGCGGGACUGAUGGGUGGCCUGGCCGGCUGGGCCACUAGGCCCAGUUGGGCCAAGUGGGGGGGGGUUCGGUUGUUUGCCUUUUUUUUAUCAUUUGUUUUUCUUUCUUUUACUUUCUGACAUUCUAUCAUUAUUAUUUUCUUAUAUAUUUAUAUCUUUCUGUUCUAACCAUAUAGGACUUUUAAUACAAUUAAAAAUGUCCGAUUCGUUUUUAUAACAUAUUAGAGAAUUUCAACAACUCUCCCGACAUUUUUACUUAACACCACGAAACGUUUCUCGUUCGACUUUAUUCGUAAAUUUCGAACUCGACUGGUUUUUCGACUAACACGAGAUCCACAAUAGAAUUUAUGAUGACGUGGCUUCACUAGCGUGGGAUUACUGUCGCUUGACUACAGGAGUUACUGUAGCACCAAUCCGAGGAUGUCACAACUUGGGACGUGAAAAUGAACUCUUAUAGUCGAAUUCCACGGUUUCACUCGGAGGAGCAUUGCGAACUUGUUCCAAGCAAGUUGUCCAACGGCUACAAGUCGGCUUGAUCACAUCCCAAUGACCUUGGAGUGACCGAAAGGUCCAUGUUGUCCUAUUGGGAUACUUGGCCAUGAAUUGGAAGUACUGAUCUUCGAUUCUUUGCUAAUACGUCUUGAUGGUUUGAGACACACUCGUGCAAGCAUCCAUAGACACCGUACUCCAAGCCUUGAUCAAGAUUUGAUCUUCCAAGAUCAUGUAGUUCUUUGAUCUCAUGCUUAUUUUGCUUGCGAUUGCUGAUACGUCCGCUCAUCUACCUCCUCCACUUCAUCUUCACCACCGUGGUCAUCCACGCCACCCUCCAAUUCAUAGUAAUCAAAACCAGCGAUCCAGGCUUGAUCGAUGUCGAUGAUGUUGGUGUCCAACAAGUUUAUGAACUCGGCCUUGACAUUGUUCGAACCACCGCUACAUUGAGUGACAUCACGUCACGAGCUACCACAAUGGCGAAAAAUCGAAGCAAGAAUAAGGGAGGGAAGAUGCAUACCUUCUGGCCCUUUCAUCGAACACCUCGCCUGCGAUUGAAGCAGCGCCGUAGAAGGCACCGUCGGGGAACGUCUCGCCGGGGCGGAGGGAGUGGGCGAGGGCUUUUUCGUAGGAACCUUUUUCCACUUCACGCCCGAAACCCGUCUCAUCUUCCCCGCCGAAGGCCGAGCAGAUCGUGCAGCAGGGCGGAGCCCCGCACGAGUUCCUUUCCGGCGGGGCCAGUCGGAAUGCCGCCCUGCACGACAACGUUGCCUUGCCACUUGCGGACAGGCGCGUCGGUGCCUCGGGCGACGAUGGGGGCUACAUGACCGGCGACGAGAUCCGCCGGACGGGAUUGCGCGUGCGUGACCUCCACGUUGACGAGAUCCGCCGACUGGGAGGCUUCCAUGGCGGUGAAGAAUGGCGGGGAAGAUGGUCCGGAGCACGUGGUGGCGGGGUAAUGGUUGCCGAGGAGGGGGAGCGGGGAACGGUCGCGCGAAAAUUUCGGUCGCGCCAAAUCUCGUUGCGGAUAAGGGGCGAGCUUGGGUCGGCCUCCCAUCCCGUGAAUCUGAAGCUUAAGGGCAAAUUUUUACCGUACCCGCAAAAAAAUUAACGGAUUUAACGUGUUUGCGGAGUCUGAUCUAGCAACAUUUUUUAUCUAAUCCGUAUUUUAACGAUUAUUUUACGGAUCGGGGCAUUAGGGAAUGCUCUCACGCCUCCAACACUGACUAAUGUUGCGCACAGAGACUUACGAGGACUGUGUGAGGAUGACUGAGAGUCUCAGACGAUGAGACACUUGAAGAGGUGGGAUCCACGGAACAAAGAGAGUUGGAGAAACAGUGAGCCUGGAGAAGGUACUGUGCUCUGUGCUAGUCCCAGACUCCCGGUGUAUGGUCCUGCCGGUCCCAGCUGUAAGGGUUGGCGUGUGUGUGCGUGGUUAAACGAGGUGGAUAUAAAGAAUUCUGAAUUUCACAUACCCCUUCUGUUAGAGUUGUGUCGAAUAUUAUUGUAUAAGGUAAGUUACAGUUGGACUCUGAGUAGUAUUGUGUUUAGACAGGAUAUAGAGUCGUGUCCUGAUAGGAUCAGGACACUUGUAUCCUAGGCCUCUCAUACAUAGCGGGGGUAGACAUGCAAUGUAAUCUAAGCCAACAUAAUAGCACAGGCACACGGGGGAGCCCACGGCGUGUGCCGGCGCCCAGGCGGCCGGCGUGCGGUAUUGUGACGGUGUCACAGGGAGGAGCGUCCGUAGUCAGGCCCCGGGGAUGUAGGCAUAUCGAUGAACCUCGUUAACAAAUCUCGGUGUCGUGCUCGUGUGAUUGUUUGGUGUCGAUAGAUUGACGAAGUGCCUCGAAUUUAUUCAAAGAAGUGGUAUCAGAAAUAUCGAGUUUGAGAUGCAGCCCGGUGCGGCGUGGUUCUCGACGAGAUUGGAAAAGAGCAAUCAGAAAAGCUUUCGACGAGUUCGUAUAGCAGUUGAUUCGAUCCAGCAGGGGGCGGUAGAUCACGCCACAGGCGCAGCAGCGCUACAGUAUCGGACAGGCCACAUGGUCGUCCGAGAGGGGCCAGGAAGCAGGCCGAGUAGCAGGCGCAGUUGAGUUGGAGGCGUGCGUGUGCGUAGCACAAGGGAGCCGUUGUGCACAAGGCAAGAUGUGUGCGCUGUGCAGAACAAAUUGAAGCAAGCCGGAGAUUUGUUUUGGAAACAAAAAAAGAGGACCGGGUCCUCGUAUACGACGACAUGGACAUGCACAAGGCAGAUCAAUCAAGGGAAAAGAAAUUCAGCAAGGAAUAUGUUUCAUCGGGAAGGCAAGGAUUUGACAGAGUAAUUAGCUAGCUUCGGGAGUUGUGCUAGUGAGCUAUACACGUAAAGACAGGAAGUUGUUUGGGUUGGAAAUUGCUAUCAGUACGCGGAGGCUAGCCGUGUACUCGGGGCAUUGCGCGGAAAGCUCGGUUAAUUUUUCACAGGGUCAGCUGUACAAAGAACCAGGACGCUAACGGAUAUCAGGUUUGAGGUGGAGAAGUUCGAUGGAAUUAAAAACUUUGGGUUAUGGCAGACAUGUGUGAAAGAUUGUAGGCAUAAAAAGAUGUUUGAAGGCGUUGCGGGAAGUCAUGCCGGCUAAGAUGGAAUUAUUAUGUGAUGGAUGGAAAUUCGCGGAAGAUGAUUUGCGAGCCUAGAGUGUGUCGUGCAGUCGGACGAUUUCGGCUGGGUUAGACUAGACAGUCUGACAGAUCGACACGAGUCGGUUGUGCAGAAGACGGCGGUGAUUUCAGCGACGACGACAUAGGAGCGUGAUGCUGAUGGUGGCCAACUUCUGGGGCGUGGAAACAUGUGGUGGAGGUCUGAGGGCUUGUGUGGCUUCGACUAUGAUUGCUUGGUCCUUGGAUGAUCAACGGAGUGCCUCGGAUUUAUUCUAUCAAGUGGUCACCUUCUCUGUUCCCUUCUCUGCUUCGUCUACCUCCCAUUUCCUUCUCCCAUUAUUCCCCAAAUCCGUCUUUGUUCUCCACAAAUACGUAGCAGCAUACCACAGGCCUGUACCCGGAGCCGAUAUAUCCGGCGACGCCAUGGGAUGGGGUGGCCGGAUUUGGACGGCAACGAUGGCAGCGGCGGCGGCCGAUGAGGCAGCUGCGGAUGGGGGAAUGUGAGACAAAUUAUUUGUUCUUUGACUCUGUUCCAGGAUCACCAUUUCCAUCAAGAUGACGUUGAAGGUGUUGCGGUAAAAGCGUCAGCUGCAGCAGCUGGCGAAGCAAGAGUAGGUUGUUGCUUGCCAAACCUUCUGAAGAUUGGCCAGGGUGCUCCAUACUAUGUUGUGUUGAAGGUGCAAGAGAACCGCUAGCGAUUGCACAGACCGGAGAAGAACCCUCGUCUGUUAAUCUUUAGUACUGAUGAAUGUCUAUGUAAUUUUGACACCACAGGCCUGUUUGUAUAGUGAAGAAAAUCCAAAUAUAUCAUUUUUUUUGUUGCAAAGUAGUCUUAUAGAAAUGGAAGAGAUUUGAAUGCGAGUCAUUAUGGUUUAACCUAAAAAUAAUAGGUAAUUAUUUACAUUAGUUACUACCACUACCUGAAGGAUCAAUAUGCAUGUUGGCUUUUGUACCUUUUAGCUGUUGGUAUAUAUCAGCAAACUGCUGUGUUACUGUAAUUUUGUAGAUGGUAUUAGUCAAAUAUGAUGAGCUCAUGGAUCACACAAAUUCAUCACCGACAUUUGGUGGAUCUGAAUCUGGACAUAGGUAUCAUCAGAUGUGUACGCUCUCUUCUUUUAUAUCUUGUUGAUGUUGAUUUAAAUGAAUUUGGCUUUUACAAAUAGAAAAAUCUAAACAAGCACUUUGCAUUAAAUUUCAUUUUUUGAGGGGCAUUGAAUUUCCAAGAUUAGUAGUGACUGACAAAAUAUAGUUCCAUCUUUUCGUUCACCAGAAAAAGUUAAUGGACUCAUGGCCCAAUUGUGUCCAGGACAAUGGAAAGUAAGGCGACACGCUGGCAACCAGAGUGGGAAGCAUUAGGAAUCGCAUAUUCGGAUCUCACAGUGAAAAGUCAGCUGGGUAACAAAUGGGAGCAGCAUACUGUUGCUCUCUGAAUUUUGUUUCUGAAAUACAUAAAACAGGAUCCGUUGUGUUUUUGCUAGCGUUGAAAGUUUUUGAACAAAGAUAAUAACAAAUAAAAUGAUCCUAAAUCCCAAACAACGAAUAAAACAUUGGCUUUUGUAUUCACUGUUCUGUGCUGAAACACAAACGAAUAAAGCGAUUAUUCUAGCAGACAAGCAAUCAAUCCUCACUGAGGUACCUCAAUCUCAACUAAACUAGUACCUCGAAUCUCAACUACACCAUGUUCAAUAAUUGUUGAAUAGCUGUUGGGUAGCUGCUUCUGCAUUUCGCGGAUUCACUAUGACUCUCGAGGGAGCUGGUGCCACAACCGGAAGCAGCACCUCGUUUACUAGAUAGCUUCAGCAUCGUGUUGCAGUGGUUGCAUGCCGCGUACAUAAGUUGCGGAUUUUUUGGUGUAUAUCUUGGUGAAGCUGUCCCAUUGGUCUGCUCUCGGGCCAACCGGACCAUCUAAUGAUGAAAGAAAGAAGGGAUGUCAAUAAUUAUGUGCUUGUAAUAGCUCUCCGCAAGGAAGAAAUCAAUCCGUCUAAGUAAGACCGUGUUGUUACUCUGUAGCGAGUACAGCUUACCGAUGAUGUAGUCUUUCGUGUUGAGAGGGCCCUCGUCUGCGCAUCAUAUAAAUUGACAUGAUCGAUUUAUAUUACGAUAACAUAUAUGAAUUUCUCCGUUCUAUAAUGUAACAGCGUUUUUGACAAUAGUGAGAGUAUAAGAUUUGCAUGAGAAAGAGGAUAAGAAGGUCACUUACCUGUUCCUUUCCUCUUCCUCUUCGGGCCGGCCUUGUUCUUUCCUUCCAGCGGGUAGAUGUGGCAUAAGGACAGAUCCUCCUACAGUGAAAUAGAAGAGGAGUAGUCAAAAUAUAAUUUGAGUUCAAGAGAAGGAGUAGUUAAACAUGUAUAAUUUCAUAAAGAAAACAAUAAUUCCCAAGGUAAGCGUGCUUCUUACCUCCAGAUACAAUCCAGGUCGAUCUUUCAUGGUCCUAAGUAGGUUGUACCGUGUCAUGCCAACAACGGCGUUGGUGCCAUCCGUGGGUUUGAACUCCAUCGUCGUCUUGGUCCCCACGAAUUUAGGGGAGUUGGGGGAAUUACCUUGGGAGGUGUUAGGGAUCGCGAACAUAGUUUCUUUGUGCCACUCCCCGAAACUCGCGUAAGCCGCCUUCCUGAUUUUAUUCGCCGCCGCCUCACGCAGCGAGGCGGUCUCUGUAUCAAACCCCUCCUUCACCCUCGCCUGCCUAAAGAAGUAAAACUUGGAUAGGCCGACGCCGGGGUUGCCCAGCCGGUAAACCUCCAUCUCCUCCUUCCUCAUAUGGGAUAUUGAGGUGAGGUUGGAUACCAACUCCUGGUCGCUAGUCCUAGAAGGAUCGAUGAACUCAUCCAGGGAGUAGAUAUCACCGAAGGAGGAAUUGGGGAAGUAUUUCUCACAAAAGGAUUCAACGCUUUCCAUCGGAGCCUUUGGAUUUCUAUUCAGGAUCAAAGCUUGGGGGGUUAGGAUUGGGGAAGAGGAAGCCGAGGAGGAUGAUUGACUCUGGCGAUGGGGCUGGCCUGUGCUGAAUCCUGAUCUGCUGUGGGAAGCGGGGCCUGAUAUAAAGUAAUAGGGUGAAGAGUCGAAGAGGGUGAGCAGACGUUCGGGUACCCGGCCUACUGGACGUCUCACUCUUAUCUUAUGCCAUUACUAGCUUUGACCGGGCGAGGGUGGCCUCCUCGCGUGUGCUGAUUGUCCUUUUUUUUUGGUAAAUGCUUUGCUUUAACGCGGAGUUCAGGAAUUACAUGUAAAUCAAAGGGUUGUAGGAGCCACAUAUGACGUCUUUCCCCCAAAUGCAAAGCAUGCUUAGCUAAGAGAUGAGCUUCCCUAUUAGACACUCUCCCUUCAUGAACAAAAGAAAUAUGUUGAAAAUUUGAAUUGCCAUCCUUAACUUUGUUCAUUAUUGGGCCUGUCAUUCCAUGUGUGCCCGAGUGACGAGCGUGGCCGGCCACACGCUCGCACACGGACUUUCACAGACUGGACUACAUGCCCGACUCUAAUUGGGCCCCCCAUAUUUUAACUGGUGGGCCUGCCUUGCUUAAUCGAAUCACACGUAAUCAAAUGUUAACCACCCUGUAAUUCCCCUGUAAACGUCCGUGUGUCUUUUUUUUUUUUGAGUGUAAACGUACGUGUGUGUCACCUGCUCGCACCAGGCAUGCCGAAAACGAUCAUACCCGUCCUCCGAUUUUAUUUAUGUGCACAUGUACGACUUCCCUCCGCCCCUACUUCUUUAUUUCAAGAAUUCCAAAAGUAUGCCACUGUUCAAUUCUUUUUUUUGACGGUAUAGCAGACAAUCAUACACAGGUACACUCAUCUUUAUAUACGCGCACACGCAUAUCGAGUUAUCCACGCAAAAAACAUCGCAAUUAGGACUAGGGUAUCAUAUUUGUGUUCAACAACGAAACUGGCUGAUUGGGCCCACCUGUCGGGCUCACAUCGCAUGCUUAUGUGGAUUAUAUGUUGAGUUAGAUGAGAGACCCGUGUGUCAAUGACUCAAGUACUUUUUUUUCACCUUUUCUUUUUUAUAUCAUCCUCUUUUUCUCUAUGGGCAUUUAGCCAAAUAUGUUAAGAACAUCUCCAGCCAUUCGGUCCCUAGUGGCCCGAAAUACCAUCGGCUAGGGAUCCGUCGGCGCAAAAAACGGGUGGGGGGGGGGGGGGGUCGGCGUUCCUAGCCGCCCACCCAAGGGCGCUCCAAGCCGUCGCUUUCGGCCCAGUUUCGACGCAAAUUUGGCCUGUUUUUUACCCAUAUUCGACAUUCUUCGGCACAAAUUAAACAACAAUAGUUAUUUUUUAUCACAUAGUUCAUCAUAGAAAUCAAUACAAACUAAAAAAUAGUUUAACAAGUCAAUACAAAUCAAAAAACGAGCAAGGUGUUGCCCUUCAGCCUUCAUAGGUGCUCCACCAAAUCGUGCUGCAGUUGUUGAUGCACCUGUGGGUCUCGGAUCUCCUAACGCAUGUUGAGGAAGGCAGUCCAGGUUGCCGGUAGCUGGUGAUUAACUUAGGCAAGAGGACCUUGCCUGUAAUAUUGUUCGGUGUCAAACACUGGCUCCUCCUACUCGCUCUCAUUGAUCAUGUUGUGCAAGAUGACACAGCAAGUCAUGAUUUUCCAUAUUUGAUCUUUCGACCAGGUCUGAGUGUGGUACCGGACAACCGCAAAACAAGAUUGAAGCACACCAAAUGCCCGCUCGACAUCCUUCCUGCAAGCUUUUUGAUGCUUGGCAAAAUAGGAGUGCUUGCCUCUUGGUGCAGGAUUUGAGAUAGUCUUCAUAAAUGUGGACCAUCUCGGAUAGAUGCCAUCUGCUAGGUAGUAUCCCUUGUUGUAGUAGUGUCCAUUGACCUCGUAGUUAAACGGAGGAGCAUGACCUUCAACAAGAUUGACAAAGACAUUCGAGCACUGCAUUACGUUGAUGUCAUUGUGAGUUCCUGGCAUACCAAAAAACGAGACAUUUGAGCCUUUUUUUUUGCAGGUAAGCUUCUCUCGAAAUGGGAAGGACCUUAUAUCAUCGAAGAAGUAUAUCGCUCAGGUGCUAUCAAGAUGAACACAUGGUGUACAAUGUUACUCCUGGAGCUGUAAGGAGGAAUAAAAGGGCUCUAGGGUCUGUUCUCUUCCUCCGUAUUUGUGUGUGUGAAUGACUGAUCAAAUGACCAGACCACCUCCUUCGGAGGGCUAUUGGGAGCAUUGUUAAGGAAAUCGGUAGCUGGUAGCUGCUCGAUCGGCUUGGGAGUAGCGAUUAAUCGGUGAAUCGUCCUAUUAACUGGAUUAAUCGAUCGACCAUUAAUCGAUAGAUUAAAUAAGAACAUGUGAACAUAUUCUAGUUUUUUUAUGCAUUAUACCCUACUCUCAUCCUCUCAGCUAUGAGAUAUACCAUAAUAGGCUACUGUUUGAUCAAAUCCUAUCUAUUGAGGAGCUAGAGGAGGAUUGGAGAGGUUACAUGCCAAAAUAUUUGGCCUAUUUGGCCCACGAGUUUGUAGGCCAUUUAAGAUUAAUCGGCCUCACAAUCUAUUAAUCGAUCUAACAUGCCAUUUAAUCAGCUUGACAAGCCAUUUAAUCGGCCCGACAAGUUAACGCGAUGAAUAGGUGUUAUUCGAAUCGGCCACACAAUGAGUAGCGAUUAACUGGCCCAUUAACUGAUUAAUCAGAUGAAUUAUUGAAAGUGACUGGGAGGCAUAUACUUGGGCCUCCCCGGCAAAAUAUGACGGCCCCCUCCUCUAUCGUUUCCGGCCUCCAGUGGGGACCGUCGUUGUGGAGUCCUCUCGACCAUUUGGCACGCCGGUUGUCGGGUCCCAUUGACUGUGGGGGCUGUCGACUGUUCAGUCUUUGUAAUUGCCAACCCCAUCACAGGCCUGAUCAUUUGGAAGAAGUUCUUACGCCUUCUACCGUUGGUCCGAGCAUGGACGGGCUUGGUGGUGGUAACUCCCAGACUGAUCCAAUUCAUACGCGAGCCUCCGGAAAACCCUCUCCCACUCUGAGAAAUAAGGACUUCCCUCAGAAAGGUCGAGACGCAAGAUAAUCUCCUUGGCGGUGCGUGCUUUUUCUUGAUGUAAUUAGAUUAAGAUAAUGGAAAUUAUAAGGGAUUUGUGUGUAUGACUCAUUUACUGCUGAUAACCAUGUGUUCACAUACCCUGACCAAAUCCUGAAUUUAUCUAAUUUUAGUGAUGAAUUUGUCUGUCCAUAAUAACGAGAGCAUAUGAAAGCUGUUCUUGUGAGUUGCUAAUCAUUAGCAACGGGCGCCUUGUACUCCCCAUAACAAAACAAAUCUUUUUUUAGAUGGGAGGGAGGACAAAAAAGGUCAGCUCUCUGGACUCUUUAAGGAAAAAAUCCUGCUGGACUCUCGAGACGGAGGAAUCUGGUCGUCACACUCACAGUACGCCGGGUACCCGCUCCCGGACAACUACUUCCUCUCAAAUGAAACUACUCCUUUGUUCGCUAUCGAAGAGCGGCAGGCCGUCCGAUGAAAUUCCAACGGUGCAGCUACGACUACAAGCUUGGUGUGUCUCCACGUUGAUAGGUGUUGAACAUUUUUCUUCCUAACACAACACAAAUGCAAGUGUUUGUAUACACAUCCAUGCAUUCACCGCUAUGAACGAACACACACCGUACCUCUAUGAACACUCCCACGAAAGACUGAGCCGGCAUAUCGUCUUCAGAUUUUAAAAGUCACCGUAGACUUCUCGUCGUCGACGGAAACACCUCGUUUCGCAUCGUCGAAAAUACUGAAAUAAAUUUAAAAAUAAAUGCCGGACAGGUAAGAAAGCACGGUACGGCUCCACGUUUUCUUUCUUAUUUCGCCAUGCUGUAGACUGUAGAGUACAUAUGAAACGGGCUAUGAUUGUAUGUAGCUGCACGGUUGGAUCUCCAUCGGACGGCAUGCCGCUCGUCUUCGCCAGCGAAAAAAAAGAGUGGGUGUGCGGAGUGGGUACGUACCCGGCGUAUUGUGCGCGUGACGACCAAAUUCCUCCGAAAGCUUUCUCUGCAGAGCGCAAAGAGCUCAGUUAAAAACAAGUCCAUGCUGCUGACCUUUGUUUGCUAUGGUGAGUCCGGGCCACCCGCUCGCACCGGCCACCGGUCAGAAACACAGAGCAGCACCGGGCGCCCGGUGCUAAGGCUUAGCAGCGCACAAUAACAGCUUAAAAAAAACCGGAGGCAAAAGAUUUACCUCAUUUAUUAAUUAAGAAAAAGUUAAGAGUUGCUUUUACAUCCAAAAACAAUAAGAUUAUUGUAGUGAUGAAGGACAGACAAAUUCAGGAUUUGAUCAGGGUUGGUGAACAUGGUUAAGGAGUCUGGAUCUCCACAGUGUAAUAGAAUCCCAGAUACGAGUAAUUUUUAGGAAGAUAACGUGGAAAUUAGCAUAGGCUAUAUGGAGAUAAAAGCGAUGCAAACAGUAGGACAGUGCACGACUGUUUACACCAAGAAAAGUACAAGCUGCAAAUACGAUUAAUAUAGAAACAAUAUUAGUAGUAUUGCCAGUGCAGUAAGAUUUAUUCAACAACAACCACCACAGUUACAGAUUUCUCCGAGGUAUAAGCUCAAGGAUUAUAAGGCGAUACUACAAACAUAAGCUGAAAGAAUAAAAGGGGCAGUGUACCAGACCACUGCUACAGUACAUACAAUCCAACAAGGUAAACUGCACUGCUAACAGUCGACCGAGCACAUCACGCGCAGAACGGAAGUUUAAAGAAGCAGCCGAGGCACCACUCAGCAACGUUCAGCACCGGAUCUUCAUCGUCUCGCGGCUGGGGAUUAGUCACCGGCGCCGGCGCCGGCGCCUCCCCCAUCCUCGCCUUCUUUACGAUGACGAUCAGCAGAGAGUAGAGGAAACAGGCAGCCAGGAACCCGACGACGCCACAGACAAGCCCGUUCUUGGUGACAUGAACGUGGUCUUGGGGCUGAUGAGCUGCUGAGGUGUGUACCGAGGGCCUUGGAAACGCUGUGGCUGCAGGUGGGGGCUCGUGGACUAACGCUGGAGGUGCGUGCGGGCUCCCAUGGAACGGUGCGAACAGGGGUGCUGGCUGUGGAUCGGCGUGUGCUGAGAAGGUUGGAGGCUCUAGAAAUGGUGUGGCGGAGGCCGGCGGCAAAGGACGUCCGGCGACGGCGAUGGCCAUGGUGAGAGACACGGCGACGAAGAUUGGAACAAGGUUUGCCAUGGCUCUGUUUUUCCUACUUGCGCACCUGCUACCAAAGGGUUGCGGAGCUGUACUCCUAUCGGUCACGUUUUAUACAGUAGGAAGGCGGGGGCAUGCAGCUAGCCGGGCACCCGGAGUGCAAUGUUGUCACUCGUCGAAGAGGCAAACGCGUGUCCGUGGUGAAAUAGAAGAACAAAGGUACGGGUACCCGCUUUGUUAUGGUGCCCGCGUCCACGGGGAAGAAAAAUGUACAGGGUACCCGGUCUCACAAACUCUGUUUUCACCUUCUAUACAUUAGGGCAUCCUUAAAUAAAACCCUCAAAUCGCCUGCAAAGUGCAAACGUCCGGAAAAAUGUUAUUCAGAUGUAUUUUGUCAACGUCAUCUCGCAUCGUCCGUGGACUAAUUUAUUCAUCUAUCUUUCUACAAACCGAAAGCAAACAUGAGGUUUUAUGAAAAACCAUUGCCACGUAGUACUCAGACACCCGGCCCACCCAAAACCUCUUCAAAACCCACGUCUCCAUCCCUCUCAUAUUCCUCUACAUCCGCUUCCUCCCUCGCCGACACCGCUGCUCUACCACCCGGCUGCCCGCCAAUCACUACCUUGACAUUCACGGCCUCCACCGCUGCAACCGGUCGCCACACCGCUUGUCCUAGCCGCUGGUCCACACCCCUCGACGUCCGUCGAGCAUGUAGCAUAUGCCCCAUGGAGGUCACCACGCCCAACAAAUGUUUGGUGAAAUGUUCGUGCUAAACUUUUUGUUCCUUAUUUUAUGCAAUGGAUUCAGACAUAAAGUUCAUGCACAAGUAAUAUGUUGAGUCGUCUGAUGAGAAGGAUUAUGCGGAUGAAUCGAAGAUGAUGAAGUCAGUCCCUGCGGACGCAGAGCGUGCGGAAUAUCACGUUCUCAGUUUCAAGGGAGCAAUCAAGGGUCGUCGAAUAUUGGAUCAAAACAGGGGACGUGAGGUUUGAUGUUGUUGGACUACUACUUUGCCCCGAUGCCCCAUUCACGGACAAUUGUUGCCAACGCUCUCGCAUGCCAAAAUAAUAUCCCCGCCCCACUCUACAAUACUAAUGACUACUUCAGGUUGAGGUAGGGUGUUUAUGAAGGAUUGGAUUCUCUAGUUAACAAAAGUGCACGAGUGCAUUGUAGAUGCUUGCAUAUGGCACGACCACAGGUUGAUCGGACGAGUGCAUCCGGAUGUCUGAGAGCACAUGCGGAGUCGCCAUGGUCAGAUUUUCUACUACGGUUGUUAAGGUGUUUGGACCUAAGUACUUGAGAGAACCAACCGCCGCAGACACCGAGAGGAUCUUGGUAAUACCCACACAAUCUGACAUUUUCUAGAUCGUAACUUGCACAUCUACCCAUAGAUCGCUCAUAAUGCCACUGUUAGGAAAUGUAAUAGAAAAAAAAAUUGACUAUAUCGCCGAGAAACGUAAUGCACCCAGCGACUAUCACCCACUCCUCGUCGUCGCUACACCAGCGACUAUAUCGCCAGCUCUUCUCAUCGUUGCACCACCCAACGACUAUAUUGCCCGCCCCGAGGCACUAGUGGGGUCGCCACCCCGGAGCAAGCGCAGCCUCACCUCGACCUUGCUCUGAUACUAAAUGUUGAAACUCGUCCACGGAUCAAUCACAUCAAAUCACGACAACACGCACACAUAAAAUCUUAUAGCCAAGGGCCCUUGUCGUGUCCUAAUUUUUCCUCUUUAGUUUCUCCUUUUUUUCAACUCACGAUAUUGCAAAUCUGAAGACGUGCUCGUGCUCAUAUACACACACGCAGCACCUGACCCAACAUGAAUCGGUGAUGGACUCAAUCACAUAUUCGUACUAGUAUCCAGCCUAGCCUAAGCAAGGUAGGACACGGCACAACUAAUCAGCAAGGAAAACUAUCAUGGACGCUUACACUAUCCUAACUAGCCGGAUACAAUUUCUAAACUUAUACGUGCAUGACCAGUCCUACUAUUACUUGGAUUAGGACACCCAAAACCAUCGUCCAAGAUGUCAACUGCAACAACAACAUGCUCAUAGCUGCACGGUUUGAUCUCCAUGCAUAUGGGACGGCCUGCCGCUCGUCUUGGGUACUCUAAAAGAAGAGCAAGGUGUGCGGGUGCGGGUACCCGGCGUAUUGUGACUUGUGAGUCGUGAGGAACAAAUUCUGACCGGGCACGGAAGCUAUCUUCACGGAGCUGACUCUGUUUGGCGUUCCAUCGAAAAGAGCUUAGUUCCUGAGACAGAGAGCAGUACCGGGCAGCGGCCGGUACUAAUGAUUAGCAGCUCUGGAGAACAAGUUCUGCCUAUUCUAGCGAUUAAGAACAUACAAAUUCACCACUAAAAAUAGUUAAAUUAAGGAUUUGGUUACUGGUUAGCGUUUGUGAACAUGGUUAUGAGCAGUAGUAAACAGGGUCAUGCACACAAAUUCCGUAGUAACUUCCAUCAUCCUAAACGAGUUACACCAAGAAAAAGCACACCUUGUAAACACGGCUAAUACAAGAUCGGUAUUGCUAGUGCGGUACGAAUGUAUCCAACAACAACCACCGUUACAAAUAUCUGCGAGGUAUAAGCACAAUGUUUAAGAUGCGAUGCUACAAAUACAAGCUGAAUAUAUAAAAGGGAUGUCUGGUAAUAUGCCACUGCUACGGUAGAAUACAUACAAUCCAACGACAAAGUUACUGCACGAAGCAGACGAGGCACCACCAAAGCGUCUUCCUCUUGCGGUUGCGGAGCAGUUGCCGUGGCCGGCUCCGUCGUGGGAACGGAAUCUCGAUCGGGCGGCUGCAGCCCGUCUUCGGCAGCGAACAAAAGAUAGGAGCGGGUAACCGGCCGGUUGUGACGUGACGCCCAAAUUUCUCCGAGUCCAGAGCUAGAUGCCUGUUCGGCAUCGCUCCCUGAAGCUGGGCGAGCGGAGCGCACUUAGACCAGCUCCCGGCGCCUAGAUAUCUCUCCUCCGACGCGGAGUCACCGAGCUGCCUAGAUAUUUAUAUCUCCUCCGACGCGGAGUCACGGAACGGAGGGCUAGAUAUCUCCCAGUUUUAAAAGAAAAGGUCGAGAGAGCUGACCAUUGUUUGGCUUCCCAUCUAAAUAAAAAAUACAAAAGCUUUGCCUUGCAACGGGGAGUCGGCGCACCCGUUUGCCAGCAGCUAUCAAAUACUAUCUCCAUCACGUUUUUUUCCUUAGGUUUAAGACGCGUUGCAUUUAUUCAUAACAGCUAAUUAGUACUCUGUUGUAAUACUUCUAUAUGCAUCCGUAGUGUGAAUGUUAUUUUUUAACUUAUUUCACAAUCAAUCAACAACCACCUAGGUCCUAAAGAAUUUUCAUACACGUCUUUUAAACCGUGACAGAGGAAGUAACAGUUUUUUAUUAUAUAUUCUAAUGAGUAGCUAGGAACACACAAGCCUAGGAUUUGGUCGGCGUUUAUGAAUAUAUUUAUGAACAGUGAUGGAGCCACGAUCUCGACACAACCAAGCGAAAACACGCAUCAACCAAGCGAAAGCACGCAUCAUAAACACGGCUAAUACAAGAUCAAUAUACAUGAUAUUGCUAAUAUCUAUAGCUCAGACGCCCAGACAGACGAUCCGGUCAUAAAAUUUCAAUCUAGACGGGUGUUUGAAACGAGCCUCAAACGUACGAACUGUCCGACACCCUUCAUAUCUAGCCCAAAUAUAAGAGGGAUAUGAGGCAGCCCGGAUGUGCUCGGGCAUGUCCGUCACGUCACCCCGGCCCACCCCGACCACAUUCCGUCCCCCACAAAUAUGCCCAAUCCAGAAACCCUAUCUCGGUUCCGUCUAUUCUUUUCCUCUGAUUUCUUCGAUUUCAUCCACUCCAACUACUUCGGUGACCAUGUCGAGCUCCGGCAGCUGCUCUGACUCCGACAUCGACAUCAGCGAGGAGCUGGUCUUCCGCACUGCCCUCGAGAGGUCCAAGGUGGACAUGGGGGUAGUUUCGAAUAUGCUGCCUCACCUCUCCCUCGCCGGCGCCGCGAGGACAUCGGUUGUGGCACCUCCCGGCCCACGCGCGGCUUCACGCCUCCCCACCCCGUCUCGUGCCCCCCGUCGCCCGCUGCUCCACGUGGGCAGCGGUGGGUGCUAGUUCUCGCACCGCCGGCCCGGACGGGCACUCCGAAAUCGAAGGCGCGCGCUACCUGCCAUAGGAGGCAGUGAGGAAGGAAGACAAAGGCGGCGAAGCUGUCCGUGCGCCGCCAACGCUGGUUGCCGGCAGAGCCCGACGAGGACGAGCGGCUCCUCUUGGGUCUACCAUCGGUCGCUUAAAACGACAGAGAUGGAUGCUCGGCGGCUACGUUGGAAGAACGCCUAGGCGCUCCGGCUUGCCAUUGAGCAGUCGGAGCGCGAGGCGGCGAAGGCAGCGGCCAGGGCGGCUCGGGUGGCGAAGCUCAAGCGGCAGCAGGACAAGGUCGUCCGACAGCUCAAAGGGUUGUCCAUCCUCUUCUCCUCCGACUCCUUCGACGACGAUUACCACAACGCCUCGUUCGACAACUCGGACGAUCCUCCACCAGUGGUUGACGCCUACAACAACGUCGUCAACCGAAAAGGGAAAAGGCCGGUGAGGAAGUGGUGAAGAUUCGUCUUCUUUACCUCAAUUCCAAGUUUUUAGAUAUAGUUUGAAGUUUUGAACUUGUCCAUCGUAUUAUGUGCAUUGUAUGAACUUUGGCUAUCUUUUGAAGAUCCAGCUGUGAUCUUUUGCUCAACGGAUUGUGCAUUUGUAUGUCCGCUCAUGAUCUACGUAGUAUGGAUAUAGCGGAUCGGAUAUGAGAUACGUGAAUGCGGACGAGGAAAUUUAAGAACUGACCAGAUCAGUGUUCGCGGAUACGCAGGGCUAGAUUUGCCAUGUCCGAUUGUAGAUGCUGUCAUGGAAAAAAGUUUUUGUAUAUUCUGUUCAGUAGCUAGGAACGGACAAGUUCAGGAUUUGAUCAGGGCUUGUGAAUAUGUUUAUGAGCAGUGAUGGAGCCAGGAUCGCGACACAACCAAGCGAAAGCACGCCUCAUAAACACGGUUAAUACAAGAUUAAUAUACAAAGUAUUGCUAGUGCAGUACACAUUCGUUCAACAACAGCCACAGUUACAAAUAUCUCCGAGGUAUAUAAGCUCAAUGACUAAAAAACUCUACUACAAAUAAAUAAGCUGAAUAUGAAAGGACAUGUAUUGUACUACUGCUACGGAACAUGCUAUUCAAUAACAAACUUGCACCCCUAACAAUCGGCCGGAAACAUCACGCGCACAAUGGAUGUGUAAAGAAGUAGCCGGCAACGUUGAGCACGGAUCUUGCGGCUGUGGAUCAGUCGCCGGCGACGGGGCCCUCGUGUUCAGUGAGCGCUUUAUGAGGCCUUCCGUAAUGGUAGUAUCUUGGCACAAUAUCAUAGGCAAAAUGCUGACGUGGCACUAUAUUUAUUGAGGAAAGAGGAGGUUGUUGUAUCUUAUUUAGGAUACGGCUCUUGCACGGUAUCAUAGCAAAAUAACUUGUUAGAUCAAUCACAUAUUAGUAUGAGGCCAAAAUCAUUAAAUACAUGCUUACUAAGAUACGACACUUAACAUACAAUACAUUAGGAUGGUUGUAUCUAACGAUCGUAUACUACCUAGGAUACCGCGCUAAGAGACAAUGCAUUACGGAAGGCCUGAUCACAAUCAGCAGAGAAUAAUAGAUGCUUCGACAUACUCUGUCUUAUACCGUAGGAAGGGAGGCUCAUGCAGCUGGCCGGGUACCCGGGUGCAAGGCUACUCAUUGGAGUGGAAGAGGUGAAACGCGGGACGACGAAAGCACGGGUGCCUGCACUGCUUUGGUGCCCACGCCCAUUGCGAAGAAAAAUGUACAAGGGCGCGGGUACCCGGCGAAAGCGAUGGGCGUAGUGAGAAGUAUUAGGCAUGUUUGGUUCCUUGGCUCGCACUUGCAUCGCACCCAUCAUGUAAUAUUCGCGACGUUUCGUAGGUUGCACGUCUCUCUUGGCCAGGCCCGGCUGAUGCAAAAUAGACCCCUGAGCCAGGCUGAGCUCGCACACAGGGAUCGGCCGUUUCAAUGAGCCUGUACCCGGGCGUGCAAAGUCUCUAGCUAGGUUUCCUCCCCAGUCUAUCGUCUCGUAUUUCCCUUGCUCUCCCCGAAGCUCUCUCCUCUGGUGCAACGCAAGUGGAUCCCGGCCGCAUCUUCGUCGCCCUUGUUGGCAUCUCGUCACCGGUGGCAAGGCAUCUGUCCUUCUCUAUCCCCCCCCCCCCCCAUUUGCGUCCCAAGCUAUGGCCCUCCUUCCUGUCUCCCAGCAUGGAUCUCGUCGUCGUCCUCGCCCCCGCCUCCCCGCGGAUCUGACCCUCAGAGCAAGUACGGGACUACGGCGGAACGUACACAGCGCACCCUCACUCGCAGCCACCCACUAGUUCUGGUUGUGAGAGUUGUCUGCCGCUUGAUCCAGUUGUGUGAGGAAGCAAGGGACCAGCUGCAAAUCCAGUUGCUACGGAACAUGCUAUCCAACAACAAACUUGCACCGCUAACAAUCGGCCGGAAACAUCACGCGCACAACUGAAGUGUAAAGAAGCAGCCUAGGCACCACCCAGCAACGUUCACCGCGGGAUCUUGCGGCUGUGGAUCAGUCGCCGGCGCCGGGGCCCCCGCGUUGAGUGAGCGCUUUAUGAUGACAAUCAGCAGAGAAUAGAGCAAACAUGCCGCGAGGAACCCGAUCACGCCACAAACGAGCCCGUUCGUUGUGACGUAGGCUGCCGAGGCCGGUACCGGAGGCGGGAGGAUCGCCGUGGCUGCAGUUGGGGGAUCGUGGGCAAAGGCUGGAGGUGCCAACAUGGGUGGUGGCCCGACGCGCGCUGAGAAGGUUGGAGGCUCGAGAAAUGGCAUGGUGGAGGCCGGCGGCAAAGCACGUCCGGCCUAGCGAAGGCGAUGGGCCUAGUGAGAAGUACGGCAAGGUUACUCAUUGGAGUGGAAGAGGUGAAACGCGUUUCCAUUAUGAAGUAGACUGACGAUGGCCUGCUGAGAAGAACGGCGAAGGCGAUGGGCCUAGUGAGAAAAGUACGACGACCUGAGCUCAAAAAUAAUAACUAAUUUAAAAUGAGCUCAGAAAAAGAAGUAUGGCGACCAAGACUGGGGGAAGGUGGUUUGCCAUUGGCUCUGUUUUUCUUUUCUGAGCCGCUGUUAUCAAAAGGGUCGUCCGUUUUAUACAGUAGGAAGGCAGCUGGCCGGGUACCCGGGUGCAAGGUUACUCAUUGGAGUGAAACAGACCGACGAAAGCACGGGUGCCCGCUCUGCUUUGGUGCCCACGCCCAUUGCGAAGAAAAAUGUACACGGGCGGGUACCCGGCCCCAGAUACUCUGCUUUCGACUUGUAUAUUAAAUUAUGAACUUAAACUUCAUUUCCGGUGGAUUAGGUGUAGAGCAGUACCCCUCCGUCCUAUAAAUAAGAGUAUCCUUGACAUGUUAGAAAUACUUUUAUGUUAAGGGACGAAGGAAGUACAAUAUUAUAUUAAAAAUAAUAGUAACAUGGACAAUUUCCCCAUCAUAUAUUAAUCAAAAGAAAGCAAUGUCGUCUUGAACAAACCAUGGCUCUGGGUAUUCCUUUUUGCAUGUAUCCAAAAAUAAAAUGAUAUAUAAAAUAAAAUAAAAUAGGGUAUGCUUGGAACACAUCACAUAGUUAUUGCACAUCUAAAUGACUCAAUCAAGCAUAAAAAGAAAAAGAAAAAUAAUAUGGGACGAAUAUAAGGGUGGCCCGGGUAGCCCGUCGGCUUGGCCCACCCCCACCUCUCAAAUAUCACCAUAUGACAAACCCUAGAUAUCGGUCAAUCCAAACUCCACUCCACUCCCAUCUUCGUCCACCCCACUUUCGAUCCCAUCCCCUUCGAUCCGAUGGUCGGUGACGGAAGCAGCAGUGGCUCCAGCGGAGAAUCCGAUGCCUCGAUCAUCGAUGUGGAAGAGCUCGUCCUUCGCGUCGCCAUUAGGAGGUCACUGCUCGACCAAGGCGGCCCCGGCACCGGCGGAUCUUCCCCAACGCCCGUCGCUUGUCGACGCAACACCCACGACGUCGCAAACCCUUCCCGCCCGGCACGCAACUCCGCUCCACUCCUUCAGGUACGCCGUCCACCUUCACCAUCCUCUGGUCCGGAACUGGUACCGUGGCACCGCUGGGUCCUCGUGCCUGCGUCGGGGCCGAAGCGCACGAGUACGUCCGAGUUUGAGGCACGUGCAGCCACGCGCGAGCGGCAGCGGGCGAGGGAGAGGGGGAGGCGAUGUCCGCACGCCAUUAGCGCAUGAGCGCCGGUGACGUCGCCAACCUUUCACGCACGACGCGCAGCUCCGCUCUGAUAGGUCCGCUUCGCUCCUUCAUGUACGACGUCCACCUCCACCACCCUCUGGGCCCUCGUGCCCGCGCCGCGACCGGGGUGCACGAGUACGCUCGAGUCCGAGGCACGUGCAGCCCGACACGAGCGGCAGCAGGAGAGGGAGAGGGGGAGGCAUUGUCCGCACGAGCGCGUCGGCCGACCCCCGAGGACGUGCUCCUCGCGCCGGUCCUCCACCGCUCUCUCACGACAGGGGAGACGAAUGUCUGGUGCCUCCGCCGCAAGAAUACCAAGGCGCUCCGACUCGCCAUCGAGUUAUUGGAGCACGAGGCAAACAGGGAGGUGGCGGCCAAGGCAAAGGCGUCCCGCCAUGCGAAGGAGCACGACCGCCUGCUCCACAGGCUGUCGGGUAUGAGGUGCAGCUCCGACUCCGACCUGACGGGCGGCUCCACCUCCAGCUUCGAUGACGACGGAUGCUCCGCGCGCCGGCGUCCACACGGAAGAGAGGCACAACCACGCCAACAUUUGGAACGGGAAGGGGCCGGCGAGGAAAUGGUGAUUUCCUUCGCCCUUCCCUGUUCUGUUUAUAUUCUAACUAUGUUUUAAGUUGUUUGUAGUAUGGAUUUGCCUUUUAACUAUGCUCUUUUUUCCGGUGAUGUAAUGUUGAUCCGAUGAACUGUGUGUUAAUCUUGUUUUAUGUAGUGUUGCAUGAGUUGUAUGGUUUUAAGGGUUCAUAUAUGAGGGAUGCGGAUGUGAAAGCUAUAAAUAAAACGUAACUGAUUAGUGUCCGCGAACGUAUGAGGGCCAGAAUUCGCUAUGUUCGGUUGUACAUGCCCUAAACAAACCGAUAAACAAUUACAAUUGUCUAGUUUAUGANGGGAACCAGCUGCCUCCCGCGCGAGGUGGGAAGUGGAGUACGGGUUGGGGGCAGUUUUCUCUCCCAACCCUUACUUCUACAGGCUGGGAAAGGGUUUGAGGGUUGGACCUCUAAAUUUUUUACGGGUUUAAGGGUUUAAGGGUUUUAGUCUACGCCGUUUUUUCGAUGAAAACUGUAAAAAAACGGUUAUUUUUUAAGGGUUUGAGGGCUCUACUAGAAAUGCUCUAACGUCUUCCGCUCGCACAUUAGCAGGAACAUCACAAAACUCAGACGACUUGUAUCCUCUCCUACAUGAGACGAUCUCUGGUAGACCAUGAUUGUUACACCAACAUUGUAGGUCACUACCUCGGUGUACCUGGCAAAGCCGGGCCCGUAGGUCGCGUCGACCGAGCCUAAUAACUCGCGACAGCAUUAGAUUGCCACCCCUGCAAUCCAUAGCCGCAAGCCUAUCACAUAGAGCCGUGGCUAUGUCGCAUCUCAGACGGCCCAUCCAUGCUCAUCCGCCGUUACGGCUAUGAAUGACGACUUAUGCUCUAAAAUUUUAGCAUAGCACAAAAUUAGUUUGACUACUCACUCUUAAUUUAUUUGUCUUGAUGUUACUUACCCACUACAGCCGUGUCGAUCGACUACACCUUUUAUUUAGGCCACCUGCGACUGAUACCAACUCUCAAAUACUCCCAUGAUACCAUGUAAAAAAAAUUUAGAAUAUUCCAAAAAAAGUUGAAAGAAAUGUGAAUGUCAACAAGGAAUGUUCCUACAACCCCUACAAAUUUUAGGUCCAAAUUCGAAAUUCACAUGAGAAACAAAAAAAGACAAAUCCGUACAUGAAUAAUGGCAUCUUGACUUUUUGUCUUUUUGUGACACUAUACACGAUGGAUUUGUUUCUUUCUUCCCAAUAUGUUUUUGAAAUUUUGAUUUGACUUUUCUUUGGAUUGUACACUCGUGUGAUGUGAACAUCCAGAUUUUUUAGCGAUGGUAUCACCCAAAGGUUGGGAGCACAUGAUAUUCUCUCUAGGCGAUCCAACUUUGCAUCAAGAUCCAUGCAAUAUUUAUCUUUUUUUUGUUUCUUUCAAAUGAGAGAACGCUUGACUUGCAGGUCAACGCCACGCGGGCACACUGUUUGAAUAAAAUGUUUUUGAUUUUUCUUUAUGCAACAGAGAUUUGUCAAAUUAAAAAAUUCGAAUGAUUUUUAUCAUCUUAUAUAUUUCUAUAUGAAUUUUUAAUUUUGCUAACCUCAUGUACCAUGGGGUAUCAUCUUAUAUAUUUCUAUAUGAAUUUUUAAUUUUGCUAACCUCAUGUACCAUGGGGUAUCAUCUUAUAUAUUUCUGUCGCGUUACAAAUCCGCAACCAUGUUGUUUAAGUGAUAGCAAGUACAGUACAUUGCUUUAACGAAGAGGACGACUGUUGCUCUGAAUUUUGUUUCAGAAAUGCAUAAAGCGGGUCCGUUGUGUUUUCAGAAGUUUGAACAAGGGGAACAACGAGUAAAGCGAUACGGCGACACACCCGCUCUGUAUUCACUGUCCUCACUGAAACACAAAAGAAUAGCAGGAUUUACAAGGCGAGACGAGCAAUCAAUCCUCUUUGAGGCAGCUCAGUCUCAACCACACUACAUCUAACCUCAGCUAAACUACCUCUCAUCUGAACUACACCAGCUCUAAUUAUUCCGUGAUGCAAUCGGCGGAAUAGGCAUCGAUGAAGAGUUGCCGGGCAGCUGCUGCUGCUGCUUGGGUUUGCAUGGGCAGUGCUUAGGGUAAUGAUUGUUGAGGGAGCUGGUGGAUUGAUCUUUUAACUUCAACAUCGUGUUGCAGUGGUUGCACGCUCCGUACAUAACGUAAGGGUUUUUGGUGUAUAUCUUGGUGAAGUUGUGCCAAUGUUUUGAUUCUGGUCUCGGUCGCUUUGAGGAAUCAGUGGAGGGCAGAUCCGGAACAUCUAAUGAUGAAAGAAGGAUGUAAUGUUAAUGAUUAAUUGCUUGUUAGGAAGAAAUUGAUUCAUCUAAGUAAGAGCUUGUUGUUUGUCUGCAGCAAACUAGAGUUAAACUUACCCACGCCGUACUCAUCCACGUCCAUAGGUGAACGCUCUGUCGCAUCAUCUCUGGAAGCCACUUGGUCCUGUUCGUCCCACGGGAGAAUGAAAGGGUCAGCUGCACGUGCUCCUGUAAAUUUGCAAGAUGGAAUUAUAACGGUAAUAUAUAAAUGAUUUGCGCGAGAAAGAGGAUAGGAAGCUCAUUUACUUUUUCCCUUGGGUUUGAUUUCCAGCGGGUAGGUGUGGCAUAAAGACAGUUCUUCCUACAAACAGUAAAAAAGAAGAGGAGUGGGUUGGUAAACAUAUAUAACUUGAAAAGAAGAACAUGAAAUUCCAAGAUAAACAUGCUCCUUACAUCCAGAUACAAUCCACGGCGAUCUUUCAUAGUCAUAAGAAGGUUGUACCGCGUCAUGCCAACAACCGGCUUGGUGCCAUCCGUGGGUUUCAACUCCAUCGUCAUCUUGGUCCCCACGAAUUUAGGGGAGUUGCUGGAAUUACCUUGGGAGGUGUUAGGGAUGGAGACCAAUUUUGUAGGCGACCAAGUCCCCUGAUCCGUCUUCCAGCCUUCCAUGUGCUUGAUUAAGCACCAGAGCUCCAGUCGCUCGAUCAUUAGUCUGAGCUCGAGGCCGUCGGGGAAGGUAGCUGCUUCUGAGAACAGAUAUCAGCUGCUGGUCGCUACAUCUGGGAAGGUCUCGAGUCUGACUCUCAGGGAGGUAGUAGAUCUCAGCGAUGCCUGCCAUCGAAGCGUUGGGGAUUCGAUUCGGGACCUCUCGAAGGAGCUCUUGUGCUACGGGGAGCUAGGAUUGGGGAAGAGGAAGGCGGGGAGGCGUGGUUGACUGUGGAGAUUGAUGAUGCAGCAAUGUUUUGCUAUCGGGAUUGGGGAGGUGUGCUGCGAAUGGAGCGGCC
Molecule: long non-coding RNA, 65750 nt
Filed under: Hordeum vulgare
Lineage: Eukaryota; Viridiplantae; Streptophyta; Magnoliopsida; Poales; Poaceae
Description: long non-coding RNA (HVUL_LNC006177)
Source: RNAcentral